GAACAUUAUACAUCAUCUCAGAUAGGGAUUAGUAUUAAUAUCCAAAGUCAGAUUUAUUCUUUUAUCGCUGAGCAUUCCACUAUAGUGAUUCGUUUCUGAUAUGAAAUGUCCUUUAUUUUAAAAACAGAGAUGUCCAUCAAAAAUGGAUUGAAGGAGGGAACUAUGAACUAUGCAUCGAGGAUGUAAGGGAUGAAAUAUGGGAUAUGGUGAAGCCGUCUGACUCUUUGAGGAUAUCACUGGCUGAUUUGCUUUCAUGCAAACAAGGUGGCACUGUUGCAAGCAUGCUUAUAGAUGUGCGUGGUUUUUGGGCCCAUGACAACAGAGAAAAUCUUCUACAGGAAGAGGAAGAACCCCAAGAAGAAGGAUGAAUGAUUUAAAAGCCAAUCAUCUGUAAUUGCACUAACAUCAGAUCCUAGUUUGCAGAAUAGAUUAUCCUAUGUAUGUAGAGUAUUUGGCUUUUCUUAGUCGUGUGAAUGGGAUGUGGCUAACGAUGCUGUCAUUUAAGGUAGUCUUCUUGGAUGCUGAACAAACCUCCAGAAGUUGUAUGUUUGAAAUCUUGUGUAGCUGAGAGAUUCCUGAAAUCGAAUCAAAGGUGCAUGUUGCUUGGUUAACUGGGAUACCCUAACAAAUUUGAGCAUGUUUUACAAGUCUUGUAAUGAAAAAGCUAUGUCAGGUUUUCCUGCUCUUGUAUCAUCUCUACCUUUGGCCAAGUAAAUUAUCCUUUUCAUAAACUUGUUGAGUUUUAUCAGUAUAAUAAAACUGUUUUACUGUGAGAAACUGAAGUCGAAACCAAAGAAAAAUCUUUCAAGUGUGCAAGAGAUGAUGUUAUGCUAGCAGAACAGAAAAAAAGUAGUGGAUGUGACUUAGUGAUCAAUGAAGUGAGUUGACCAUCAUCAGGUCUUUGAUUCAAGGGAAAAGGGUUUGAUAUACCCUUCAAUUUUGUCAUUUAGAGCUGAUAUAUUCCUUGUUAUGAAAGUGGCUCAUAUAUACCUCUACUUAUAUACAAAUGACUCACAUAUACCCUUUUCCUCUAAUGGAAAUGAAAAAAAAGGAGCAUGGAAAGUACAAACGUCGAGUGGUGGAGGCUGCUGAUGCUUAAAAACCAAUGGUGCUUUCCGGUUGUCCCAAAGUACCGAGAGAUUCUACUCGCAAUUAAGAAGGUGCAAUACAAACAACAGUUUCGACAUCUUUAUUUAUUCAGAAAAAGGGUCUGAUAUAUUCCUCAAUUUUGUUAUUUAGAGCUGAUAUAUCCUUCGUUAUAAAAGUGGCUUAUGUAUACCCCUAUUGUUAUACAAAUGACUCACAUAUACCCUUUUCCUCUAAUGGAAAUGAAAAAAAAAAUUUAGUUUAAUUUUUUAUUAUUUUUUAAAAAUAAAAUAUAAUCCCAUAUGAGUAUAUUUAAUCCUCCUCAAACAUAUUCUUUUUGACUUUUUUUUUAUUUCAAUGACUAAUUUAGAUUUAUUAUUUUGAUGGUCAAAUUUAUUUAUGUUUCACUUGUAAAACUUAUUAUAGAUGACCAAAUUUUUUUCUUCAAAUACAAAAAAUUAAAUUACAAUAUAGACAAAAAAAAUAGUUUUAAAUUAUAAUAUAACCAUAAAAGAAUAAUUUUAAAUUUUUUUCUUUACACUAAGGAAUGAAAGAAAAAAAUAAAAUAAGAAUAAGAAACUCAAAUAAUUAUAAUCAAAGAAGUCAAAAAAUAAUUUAUGUAUGAAAAAGAUUAAAAUAUACCUUGAACUUUGCUAGAAGAAUCAUAUAUAUCCUUCAAUAAUUUUUAAGAAAAUUAAAAGUCAAAAAUAUAAAUUUAAAACUAACUUUUUCACUUCCGUUAAAUGAAGGGUAUAUGUGAGCUCAUUUUGUAACGGUAGGGGUAUAUGUGAGCCGUUUGUAUAACGGUAAGGGUAUAUAUGAGCCAUUUUAAUAACAAGGGGCAUAUCAGCUCCAAAUGACAAAAGUUGAGGGGUAUAUCAGACCCUUUUCCCUUGAUUCAAAUUUCAAUAGGGACGAAAAACUAGGUGAUUUUUCCCUAUUUGUUCUAGCCUUAGUGGACAUAGUUACGUAAAGGGUAUCUUGUGGAAUUAGUUGAGGUACAUGUAAGCUGGUUCGGACACCAAUCUCCGUUCAUCUCGUUCUCCUAUUUAAAAAUCUUGUGUUCAUAUCUUCAUUCUUCUCUAUUGAAUAAUUUUUUUUCCCCUAAGAAAUUUACUUACUGGCUUCACCAUCAUUGUUAUCAUAGCAGUACUUGGUGACCCCUUUUCAGUUUUCAUUUCUUGAAUGAAUUCUUCUAAAUAAAAUUCAUAGUAAAACAAAAGAAUUUAUUAAUCCACACUGAAUGGUAGUGAUGUAUAUAACUUUGUCCUGCAUAGCACAUGGUACACUCACUGCCUUUAAAGACAAAUUAUUUAGCAAUAUUGAGAUGAUUAAAAUGGAAUAUAAGGAGAUAUUUCCUCUCACUACUUUAAGAUUAACGUUUAGUUUGUUUAUAGAUAAAUAAGAGAGGUAUUAGAUACCCACAAAAAUUAAAAAGGAAAAAACAAAUCUAUUGUAAUGAAGAAGAGACGAAAUAGAAAAAAGAAAGAAAGAAAUAAAGAAGUAAACAACGACCCAUAACAAACACCAAAAUAGUACUCCCUCGUUCAAAUUUGUUUGUCGUAUCUUUCUUUUGAGUCUGUUUUUAAAAUAAAUCUCUUUUUUUUUUUGCAACUUUCUUAUUCCAACUUUUCACGUUACAUGUUUAAAACUAUGAAAUAAAAAGACAUUUUUGGUACAUUUUUAUGUAUUUGUUAGUUUAAAACAACAAAAUUCCUAGUGUUUUUAAUCUUUUUGUUACGAUAAAAUCAGAUAAACAAAUUGAAGCGGAAUAAGGGGAGUACUAUUUUCUUGAGAGUGAAAGAAGCUAAUGGGAAUUAGGACCACUAGAGUUGGUAACCAAUUGCAUUCGAUUGUACAUGGCACAACAUAAUUGUUUUUUUAUAAAGUACCUACGUUUACAUAUUGAACAAUGGAGAAUCCCUACUAGACACUGACAGCAUAUUGAAAGCAACUGCACCAACUACAGCAUAUUGAAAGCAACUGCACCAUGUGCAGAAGAGUUUGCUUCAUCCUUAAUCAGAUAGUUCGAAUUUGAGCCUUAAGAAUGAAGAAAAUCUUGUUAGGAGUGCCACCCUCGAAUAGGCUCUGCGGUGCACAAUCUGAAUUCAAUCGGGACUUCAAUACGGACUCUGAACACAGGGCCGACUUAACAAUAUUAGGGGCCUAAAGCGAAACUUAAGAGAUCAGCCCUAAUAUUUUGUUUUUCAUCAUAUGUAUUUUCAUUUAAAAUCUACUUUUCUAGCUAUUUUAGAUGUGAAGUCAUUAAGUACUAUUUUAUAAUCAAUUUGUUUUAAUAAUUUCUUUUUUAAUGAUAAUAUAGUUAAUUCAUUCAAUCUCUCUUGAGACAUUGUUGAUCUUAAAGAAGAUUCAAUCAAUUUUAAUUUCGAAAAAAACUUUCUCCGGCUGAGGCAACGGUUACAAGAACUGUUAACAUUAUUCUAUAAGCAAUAUGUGUAUUUGGAAAAGAAUCAAGUCUUUUUAUUUGAUUGAGUAUUUUCAUAAGAUCACUAUCUUCUACUUGUAUUAUUUUUCUUAACACUUUUAAUUCAAAAAAUAAAUCUAAAUCAUCAAUAUCAGAAUUACUAUUACGUGUUAAAGAAAGUUCAAGGUUAACACAAUAUUUUUUAAAAAUUCUCAUUAUCUAGUGAUCUAAAUAUUUUACCACUAAAUAAGAAAUCAAAAAUAUUUUCAUAUGCUUCAAGUGGUUCAAAUCUAUUUUGAAGUGAAAAAAUAGUUUGAUCUACUCUACAUAUAUAAAGUAAUCAAUUAUAAACGAUUCUUCAAGUGACUUUGUGAUUUUGUAAUCCAUAUUUUCAUUAAGUUGUUUCUUACGAAAUUCAGGUUUAUAUUUAUCUCAUAUGUAAUUUCCUUAGUAGAAAUCAUAGCACUCAUAGUACAUAUAAUUUUUUUUUAAAAAUAACAUAUAUAAGUAAUUGCUUUUUUAAAAUGGAGGCCCCCAAAAAUAUGGGGCCCCAAGCAAUGGCUUCAGUGGCCUAGGGAUUAAGACGAUCCUGAACACCGAAUGAGAAACCAAAAAAAUAAAUGAAAACAACAGCACCUCUCUUUCAGAUUAUUUUUAUAUAUAGCUGGCCUAUCCUCUUCACCAGAGACACACCUAACUGUUUCUCCUCUUUAUGACUCUCUACCUAGUUUCUUAGCCAGUGACACACACAACACAACUUACUUUUUGUAUUUGCAGCAGGUUGACCAGUUGAAUAGAUAGCUUAUAUAAUAUAUAAUCAAUCAUCUAUACUCUAUACACAUGCUAGAUACGGGACCCGUGUCAGCACGGACCCAAUAUAUGUUACUCUUUCUAUUUUAAUUUAUAUGAUACAUUUGAAAUUUGAAGUCAACCAAUUUUUAGUAUGUUUUUAAAUAUUUUAAGUUGUUGCUAAUUAUUACCAUUUAUAAUAUGUUUUACGCAUUUUUCAUAUGAUAUAUGUUACUUUUUUUGUCCCAAUUUAAGUGACGCAAAUGAAUUUGAGAGUCAACCAAUUUUUAAAAUACUUUUGUCCCAAUAUUGUGAUUUAUAGUACUUUUUUUAAUGUAUAUUUUAUAUAAUAUAUAUCACUUCAUUCGUCUUGAUUUAUGUGAUACAAAUAAAAUUUCAAAAGUUAGCCGGUUUUUAAUAAGUUCUUUUUGAUAUAUAACAUGUUAAUUAUUGUGAUUUAUAAUAUAUAUAUUUUUUUAAUGUAUUUUACAUAAUGUAUAUUUUUCCGUUUAUCCCAAUUUAUGUGGUAUAGAUGGAAUUUUGAGAGUUAACAAUUUUUUUUAUAUAUAUUUUAAAAUAUUUUAAGCCAUUAAUUAUUAUGACUUAUAAUAUUGUUAUCCCAAUUUAUGUGGUAGAGAGUUAACAUUAUAUAUAUAUAUAUAUAUAUAUAUAUAUAUAUAUAUAUAUGUUUUCAAAUAUUUUAAGCUAUUCAUUAUCAUGACUUAUAAUACUUUUAUCCCAAUUUAUGUGGCAUAAAUGGAAUUUUGAGAGUUAACAAUUUUUUAAUAUAUGUUUUCAAAUAUUUUAAACUAUUAAUUAUUAUGACUUAUAAUACUUUUAUCAUAAUUUUCUAUUUAUUUAUAAAGUAAUAAAACAUAAAAAUUUAAAAAAGAAAACAUAAUGAAACAUGGUAGCCUAAUCUAGAACCAGACUAUUAAGCAAAGAAGUAGAACAUAUCUUUAAGUAUUGUUGAUGAAAUAAUUUUAAAUUUUUAUAAAAUAAAUUAUGUGUAUAAUAAAUUAUCCCAUUAUGUGUAAAAUGAAUACACACAAAUAUAAUUAACAUUGAAUUUUUUAAGUGGAAUUGAUAUAUGUUUGUAUGACAGUAAAAUAAAUUGGUGCGGGUCUUCUAAAACUCUCGCUAUAAUAGAAAUGAUCUUUAACGGUACUUAAUUAACAAGAAUAACUUAAUUUUUGUCAAAUAUAUAUUUUUAGUGGCAAUUAAUAUUCUUUUUAAAUGUCAUUAAAGUCUACAAUGACAUUGAAUUUAAUGACAAUUAACUAAUAUCGAUAAAAACUUUAAAAUUUUUAAUAGGCGCUUCAUAAGAAUAAUUUAGAUAACUAAUGGAAAGUGCAUUGCUAAAUGUAACAUAAGUAUUAAUGGAGAAUGAUUAAAUGGAAGAAAUUGAUAAGAAGAGCACAUUCCCAAAUGACAAGGCCUUUUUUGGGAAUUUUUAAGGUCCUUAAAGUUGGAUGUAUUUACAAAAAUGUAUGAGAACAAAUCAUGAAAUAAACUGAAAAAUCAUGACUUAAACUUAUAUAUAUGUCUUCUAAUUUUGAGUGUGUACAAAUAAACAUGACUUAAAUUUAUAUAAAGUUGAACAAAAUAGACACAGGCAUCCUAAAUGGCAAUUCUCGUCCUAUGUGAUGUUUUACGUGUAUUAUGCAAUGUAAGACACGUGUAUUUACUUGUUCAACUUUAUAUAAAUUUAAGUGUCUAUUUGUGCACACCAAAAGUCAAAGCGUAUGAAUAUCAACUAAAAUCAAGUUAAAUAACAUGUUUAUAUAUUCUGCUAUUAGUAUAAAAAAUAAAGUAUUUGUACGUACGUACAUAAAGUAAUAUAAAAAAUUAUUGUCACUUAUUUUAAAACAAUUAUUGAUUGACUCGAUUAGAGACAAAUUGAGGAUUCUAAAUCGAUACCAUUUUCACGACUUAUAUAUUAUUCUUUUGUCAAUUCAGUGGAAACUACAUGUAAAUAAUGUACAUUUUCCAAUCAUUCAACUAUAUAUUAUAAGAAUUUAAGCUAAUGAAAGUGGGUGUGAUGCACUUGCUGCCGACAACUUACAUCCGACUGUGCGUUUGAUAUUUUGAAAUUGUAAAAAGGUUCAAUUUUAUUGUUCUCUAUACUACUUUUCUUAAUAAAAAAAAUAUUUUCGUGUUAUUUAAGUGGUUCAAAUAUAACUUCCUCGAUUACUGCCGUUCAAUAUAGUAUGUAUUCUUAUGAAAAUAUUUUUGUGUUACUUAAGCGGUUCAAAUAUAACCUCUUUUAUUACGACUGUCUAAAGUAAACAUCGCUUUCACAUAACACUGAUAUUUGAUGAUAGUAGGGGAGAAGGUACAAGUGUGGAAGAAGAAGUAAGGGAGAUUGGGCAUCCAUAAUGGACAACCCUAAUGAAAGAGGGUAUAGUUAAACGACUUAUGUAACAACGGAAGUAUUUUUUUGUAAGUAUAAAAUAUAGACAUAAUACAUACAUGUGCUCUUUAACUUGUUUUCAACUGACAUCUAUGUCCUUUAAUUUUAGGUGUGCAUAAGUGGACACUUAAACUUGUACAAAAUUGAAUAAAUAAACACAUUCGUCUUACGUGACAUCUUACACAAUAAUUUUGUGUCUCAUGUGAUGUCGUACAUAUUGGAAAAGGCAAGCACAAAAUAAAUGUGCACGACAGGGCAAUAGCGGAAGAAACCCAAGUCAAAACUUUCCCUUCUAUUUGAACCAAGAUAAGACAAAAUAAUGCAAGAAUAAACACUCUUUGGGCAGCAAGCAAAUCAACCAAGCAAGCAAAUUAAAUCAACACACGAGACACCAAAUUUAAUGUGAAAAUCUCUUCAGUGUGAAGAGUAAAACCACAAGGCCAAAGCUCCACUAUAAUCAACAAGAGUUACAAAAGUGUUCUCCAAAAUGGCCACCAACAAAGUGCCAAACAAUGAGCAACACACAACUACAAGAUAGCACCAAAAACUAGAGAAAUAAGAGAAGCAAAAACACCAAACCGCAGCUGCUGUGCACGAGCAAAAAUCUGGAGGUACAGGACUCCAAAUCACCCUCUCUCAGUUCCCAAUCAAAGAUUAUGUUGAAUGGAAUAAGCUGUCCAAAAAUCAGCUCAAUCGGAUAAGAAACGAAGCAGGAGUCGCGAUUUGAAAUUGGCUGCUAGGGUUUGUGCGAAAAUCUGAACUUUUUCACUUUUCUCUCUAUAUUGCUGCUCUCAAUCUCUUGUGAUUCUUUAAAUAAGACCUAAAAGAAAGUCUUACAUAUGCACCAUAAUAUUGGGCUUAUGGGAAAAAGUGAGCUAGUCAAGAAUGGGCUAAAUUUAUCCACAAAGGAAAGGAAGGAAGACCCAAAACCUUGCACUUUUAUUUAUCCACAUAGGAAGGGAAAAAGGCUCAAAACCCAAUAAUUCUCCCCCUACCGACUAUGUAGAGGAAACCGCCAUCCCUGCGAUCAUGCAACAUUCUUCAAACUUCCCUCUUGGAAAAGCUUUAGUCAUCAUGUCGGAACCAUUAUCAUUGGUAUGGAUCUUUUCAAGUUCAAGCAACUUAGAAUCCAACACAUCUCGAAUCCAAUGAUACCUCACAUCAAUGUGUUUAGACCGACCAUGAAAUGUAGAAUUAUUGCCAAGAUGAAUAGCACUUUGACUGUCGCAAUAAAGCGCAUACCUCUCUUGAGCACAACCAAGUUCCCCCAAAAAUCUUUUCAUCCAUAUCAAUUCUUUGCAUGCUUCAACAACUGCAAUAAGCUCAACCUCUGAAGUAGAUAAAACAACACAUUUUUGCAACCUAUAUUGCCAAGACACAGCUCCCCCUGCAAAAGUAAUCAAGUAGCAUGAAGUAGACUUACGAGUAUCAACAUCACCGGCCAUGUUUGAAUCAGUGUACGUAACCACAAAGAAUAGGCUUCCCCUGUACCAAAACAACAGACUCAAACUAGAAGUGCCACAAAGAUAUCAUAAUCCACUUUACAACAUUCCAAUGCUCUCUUCAUGGAUUAGAAAGAAAAUGGCUAACAAUACCAACAACAUGAGCAAUAUCUGGUCUUGUACACACCAUUGCAUACAUCAAACUACCAACAGCUGAAGCAUAAUGAACUUUCUUCAUAUCUUCCUUCUCACCAUCGCUGGAAGGACAAUGCUUAGUACUCAAUUUGAAGUGCAUAACUAAAGGUGUACUGACAAUCUUAGCUUUGUCCAUGUUAAAUCUACGAAAUACUUUCUGAAUGUACUUCUCUUGUGACAACCACAACUUCUUGGCAUCUCUAUCACGGACAAUCUGCAUGUCAAGAAUCUGCCUUGCUCAUCCCAAGUCUUUCAUAGCAAAAGACUUAUUCAACUCUUGCUUCAAUUUUUAAUCCUGUAAGUAUUAUGACCAACAACAAGCAUGCCAUCAACAUAAAGCAAAACGAUAAUAAAGUCACCAUAAGAGAAUUUUUGCACAAAAACACAAUGGUCUGAAGAAGUCUUCUUGAAGCCUUGCUGACUCAUAAAAGAACCAAACUUCCUGUACCAUUGUCUGGGAGCUUGUUUUAAACCAUACAAGCUCUUCUUCAAUUUGCAAACAUAAUUCUCUUUUUCCUUGACUUCAAAGCCGUUCGGCUGCUCCAUUUAAAUUUCUUCAUCCAAGUCACGAUGGAGAUAAACAGUUUUAACAUCCAUUUGUUCAACCUCCAAGUCCAGACUUACAGCCAAGCCUAGAACCACACAGAUGGAUGCCAUCUUCACAACUGGAGAGAAUAUCUCAUCAAAACCAAUCCCUUUUUUCUGGUUAAAACCCUUCACAACUAAUCUAGCCUUGUACUAUGGAACUGGGUUACCAUUUUCAUGUUUCACCCAAAACCCCCACAUGUUUUUCAAAGCUUUUCUGUCUUUAGGUAACAUAGCCAAAUCAAAGGUAUGAUUAUCAUGUAGAGACUUCAUUUCAUCCUCCAUAGCAUCAAACCGCGUUUCUUUUUCGGAAAACCCACCUGUUUUUCAAAGCUUUUCGAUCUUUAGGUAACAUAACCAAAUCAAACGUAUCAUUAUCGUAGAGACUUCAUUUCAUCCUUCAUAGCAUCAAACCACAUUUCUUUUUCUUCACUUUACAUGGCCUCAUCAAGACUCUCUGGUUCUCCCCCGUCACUCAAGAGUACAUAUUCAUUGGGAGAAUAACGAGAUGAAGGUAUUUUCUCUCUAGUAGAUCUUCUGAGAGAGCUUUCUGGAGCAUCAAUAAUAGUUGGUUGCUCACCAACUACAUCGUCUUGCACUGGAGCAGACAUACUGGUCAUUCUGAGUAUGAUCACCAUCUUCAAUAUCAACUUGAUUUUCAUCAUCUUGAAGAUUUUCACCUGGUGGAAUAGUCAAAAGCACUAGAUCAACAUCAACUAGACUCUCACUGUUCUGAGAAUCAACCUUCUCAGCUUUGUCAAGAUCUUCAAUUGUUUAGUCUUCAAAGAACACAACAUCACGACUUCUAACAAGUUUCUUCUCAACUGGAUCAAAGAAACGAUAGCCGAAUUCAUCUUGAUCAUAACCAACAAAGAUACAUUGCCUAGUUUUAACAUCCAACUUUGACCUCUCAUCCUUAGGAACAUGCACAAAGGGUUUACACCCAAAAACUUUAAGAUGAUCAUAAGAAACAUUCUUAUCAGACCAAACUCUGUCAGGAACAUCACCAUUCAAAGCAACAACAGAAGAUAAAUUGAUAACAUAUGCAGCAGUAUUAAGUGUUUCUGCCCAAAAGGAAUCUAGAAGUUUAGCAUCUGAAAGCAUACAUCUAACCCUCUCAACAAGAGUUUUGUUCAUCCUCUCCGCUAAAUCGUUUAGCUGAGGAGUCUUUGAAGGAGUUUUCUGAUGCCGAAUACCCUGCUCUCUGCAAUAUCUAUCAAAAUGACCAAUAUACUCACCACUAUUAUCAGAACGGAUGCAUUUCAAUUUCUUUACUGUCUGUCUCUCAACCAAGGCCUGAAAAUUCUUGAACACAUCAAGUACCUGAUCCUUGGACUUCAAAGAGAAUACCCAGAGUUUGCGCGAAUGAUCAUCAAUAAUCACAAAAUAAAAUGCACCACCAUGAGACUUUACCUUAAAAGGACCACAUAAAUCAGAAUGUAUCAACUCCAGCAAAUCAAGCUUUCUUGAAGGCGGAUGACUUUGAAAAGAAGCCAUUUUCUGUUUACCGGCUAAGCAAUGAGCACACUUGUUCAACUUUGCUUGUUUCACUCCAGAAAGCAAACUCUUCUUAGCCAAAUUGUCCAUCCCCUUUUCGCUCAUAUGACUCAGUUUUCUAUGCCAUAACAAUGAUGAAGUAUCAUUCUACACCAUAUUUACUGAGCCUCUGAGAAUGGAGCCCUAAAAAACAUACAAGUGAGACAACUUGUCACCACGAGCUAUCAUCAUUGAACCUCUUGUAAGCUUCCACUGGCCAGCACCAAGGGUAUUGACAUAACCCUCAUCAUCAAGGUAUCUAACAUAAAUUAAAUUCAAGCAAACAUUUGGAGCAUGCUUGACAAUAUUGAGAACUAGUUUGGAACCAUUAUUACUUUCCAAACAAACAGUCCCAAUACCAAGAACCACAACUUCAUGAUUAUUGCCCAUUUUCAACAUCCCAAAAUUACCUGAAGUAUAAGAAGAAAAUAAUUCCUUUCUGGGCGUGACAUGAGAAGUAGUACCAGAAUCCACAAACCAGCUAGACUCAUCGCAAACAAGAUUGACGACAGUUUCAUCACAAGAAACAAGAAGGUCAUCGUUAGCAACAACAACAACACGAUUUUCAAUAUCGCCUUCUUUAUUUUGUUGUUUCAUAUUACUCUUGUAUCUGAAACAAUAUUUCUUAAUAUGCCCAUUCUUGUGGCAAUAGUCACAUGUAACAUUCUUGAAUCUAGACUUUGACUUUUCUCUACUUUUAUCUCUGUCAUUUUGACCUCUGAACUUGCUUCUCCCCCUAUCUUCAGUAACCAAAACAUCGGAGUGUGAAGUAGAAGAAGAUGAGCCUUGAGAUCUUCUCAUAUCUUCAUUCAAGACACCACUCUUAGCGUAUUGUAUGGUCACAACACCACUGGAAGCAGAAUUAGUCAAAGAAACUCGAAGAGUUUCAAAAGAGGUCUGACAGAGUAUUAAGAAGUCAUAGUCCCUGUAUUUCUUCAUCGAAUUUUACACCCAUUUCGGACAGCUAGUCAAGAACACCCUGAAAAUCAUUAAUACGAUCAGAAAUAGGAGUGCCCUCUUUAUACCUGAUGUUCAUCAAUUGUUUCAAUAGAAACAAUUUAUUGUUGCCAGUCUUCGUAGCAUAAAGUGUGAUAAGCUUCUCGCAUGCGUCUCAUUAACAAUGUGAUUUCUCACAUUAUCUUCAACCCAUUGUAUGAUAUCGCCACAAACCUUUAAAUGCUCAAAUUCCCAAUCCUCAUCGUUCAUAGAUUCGGGUUUAUUAGAAGCAAACACAGAUAGAUGCAUUUUCUUGACAAAUAGAAGAUCUUUCAUCUUGUCUUUCCAAGUAUGAUAAUUACUACCAUUCAAACAAACUGAUGUGAGGCCAAAAUACAUAUUUUUAAUCAUUAUUUGCCUCACAUUUAUUAUUUAUAUUUGUCCCUUUUGAGCAUAGAUUUUAUAUUUAUUUUUUAAAAUUUGUUUUUACCCUCCCCUAGAAGCUCCCACCUCUUUUUCUCCCUUGGUGACUUGAACUCACAACCUUUGGGUUGGAAGUGAGGGGUGCUUACCAUCCGAGCAACUCCCUCUCGUCGAACAUAGAUUUUAUGAAUUGUGCUUAAUAGUAUAUUUUAUUUGUAGAAUUAAAUUGAUGGAAAAAUAAAGAAAUUUGGAGCUAAAAUGAAUUAAAGAUGGAAUAUUGAAGAAGAAAAUCAAGCAGACAACCUAAUAGAUUAACUUUAAUAUAAUAAUAAUAUUUUAUAUAUAUGGCAAAGAACAAAAUGCGAAUUUUGAAGGAAAUAAAUAUGUGCCACGUGGCAAAUAUCCAAGGGAAGACCACGAAGAGUUGGAGUCGGCUACAGUUUCACGCGGAAUCCUUUUAGGUUUUGAGUUCCUAAUUUGUUUUGGACUCAAUUAUUUUAUUCAGAAUUUGCUUCAUUUAUAAAUAAUCCAUAAAAAUAGUUAUUGAGAGAGGGGGAUGAAUGUAGAAAAUAACUUUUGAUUUAGAAUUUUAUUUUUUCUUUCUCUUUUACUUAUUUUAUAUCUUUUCUUUGAAUGAUGAUUUGUAAUUGCUCUAUGUCUAUGUAGAGUUAAACUUCUCGUUCUUGGAUUAUAUUUUACUUACAAUAUAAUUGUUUAGUGAUUUUAAUUCGGCAUGAUUUGUUUAUCAUAUUAGUUGUUCUUAUAUUUUUGUGAUUACUAUUUUGAUGCUUGAUCACCAUUGAAAUAAACAUAUUGUCCGAAUUAAAUUCGGGAGAGGAAUAAGAGGAUAGAACGUGAAAUAUAAGGAGCAUGAUUUUCUCUUAAUAAUUAGGGUUAAUUUGUAUCUAGGAUAGGGAUAUACCUAGAAACCAUGCUUGGUCAUUAUACAGGAAGAAAUCGUAAUGUUCGGUACUUAAUCCAGCCUAUCUCCGCUCAACGAUGUAGUUAGGUUAUUAUUUAUCGUAGGCGAUUAGAGGUUGAGAGACCAUGAUCAUACAUUUAACCCUGUGAAUCAAUAACUAGAUAAUCAAAUAAGUUGAUGAAAUUGAUGCUAAACAUGAUUGUUAGUUAAAUUAUAAUCCUAGAUCGAUUCAUUCAUUGAUUGUGUAAACAUCUAUCUUUUCUUAGUUAAUUGUUUUUUAGUUAUUUUAUCUUUAUUUUUAGUUUAGUUAAUAUAUUCAUCUUUUGAAAUCCUCCCCUUAAAUAAAUAAUUAGAAUUAAUAUAAUUUAGUAAGAAUAAUUAAUUGACAAGUCCUUUGGGUUCCGAUAAUCCGGUUCUUUUAAGAGCCACUAUAUUACUUGUGCGACCGUGUAUACUUGCGUGUGCAAUUGGAAGCAACACAAACCAUCUUGCUCAUAUUUGACUUCAUCAUUCAAAUAGAUAAUCAAUAACAACCAAAUGCUCUAAUACCACUUUGUUGGGAAAGGCAAGCACAAAAUAAAUGUGCACGACAGGGCAAUAGUUGAAGAAAACCCAAGUCAAAACUUUCCCUUCUAUUUGAACCAAGAGAAGACAAAAUAAUGCAAGAAUAAACAUUGUUUGGGCAGCAAACAAAUCAACCAAGCAAGCAAAUUAAAUCAACACAUGAGACACCAAAUUUAACGUGAAAAACCUCUUCGGUGUGAAGAGUAAAAACCACAAAGCCAAAGCUCCACUAUAAUCAACAAGAGUUACAAAAGUGUUCUCCAAAAUGGCUACUAACAAAGUGUCAAACAAUGAGCAACACAACCACAAGAUAGCACAAAAAACUAGAGAAAUAAGAGAAGCAAAAACGUCAAACCACAGCUGAUGUUCACGAGAAAAAAUCUAGAGCUACAGGACUCCAAAUCACCCUCUCUCAGUUCCCAAUGAAAGAUUAAGUUGAAAGAAACAAGCUGUCCAAAAAUCAGCUCAAUCGGAUAAUAAACGGAGCGGGAAUCACGAUUUGAAAUUAGCUGCUAGGGCUUGUGUGAAAAUCUGCACUUUCUCACUUUUCUCUCUAUAUGGCUGCUCUCAAUCUCUUGUGAUUCUUUAAAUAAGACCUAAAAUAAAGUCUUACAUAUGCACCAUAAUGUUAGGCUUAUGGGCAAAAAUGGGCUAGUCAAGAAUGGGCUAAAUUUAUCCACAAAGAAAAGGAAGGAAGACCCAAAAUCUUGGACUUUUAUUUAUUCACAUAUGAAGAAAAAAAAGCUCAAAACCCAACAGUACAUACAUGUAUUGUGCCACGUAGGAUACGUGUGUCUACUUCAAUUUUACAAUAUUAAUAUAUUACCAUACUAAUUGAUAUGGAGCUCAAAUAUCAUAUCUUGCGAUGGACCAUAACUCGAAUUCUCCAGAAACAUGAUGCUCUUCGUUUACACCAAUCACUUCUUUGGUGUAAGAUGUAUUGUAGCUCCCAAAAAAAGGACAAAAGACUCAUUACAAAAUAACAAAACUUAUAAAGGAGACAGAGAAAGACAAAGAGAGGAUGUACACAGGGAAUAUCUUACAUCUCAAGAAUCUUCCAUUCAAAUAGCAAUAACUCAUAAAAUAAAUAUAUGACUUCUCCAAUAAUUUGAUGCGACAAGACAAUAAUAUAACUUUACAUAAUGCUUAUAAAAUAGAAAUAGUAAUAACUAACAUGAAAUUAAAAGAACUAUACAAGUGCUACACAAAAAGAGAAAUUAAGAGGAAUAUAGUUCUUACUUUAGGUUUUAGCAUUUUGUGUAAUGUGAAGUUCUGACUUGAAGUUACUGUGAAGUGUGAAUUGAAGGCUAAAGGGUAAAUGCAUUAACCGGUAAGGUAUUGAGAUUAAUAUUUAAUAUUUAUGUAGAAGUAUAAUAGUAAAUUAUUAUAGUCUUAAUGAGUAAUUAGGUUUAAAAUUAAAUGAUACUAUAAUAGAUACCCAAUCAAACAAUACAACAAAACAUAUGAAAACACUCAUAUUAAAUGUUUAAGAUCAAACAAUACGACAACAAAGUUUUACAUUAUUGACUUCUUGGUGAAGAAUUAAAAUGCUUCUUCACGAACAUAUUUGCGAAAGAAAUAUUUUAAUAAUAGUAUAUUUUAAGGUGUAUUUUAAAAGUAAAAAAAAGAAUCGAAAAUUAACCGAAUCUUACCGAUACCGAAGAAAAACCGAUAUGACUAAAUGGUUUUAAAAAAUCUAAUUUUGGUUAUACAUUAUAAAAUACCCGAAAAAAUGAGAUAGGAUAAUUUUUUUAAAAAUAACCAACCAAACCAUCCCAUUAACAUCCCUAUUUAACACAAUAUGGCAGAUAAUUUUAUGUUUUCUCAUAUUUCAUCCACUUCAAAUUUCCUUGGUGAAUUGAAAAAUUCGGUUCUUUCCCAACUUAACAGUUCUACAAAAGAAGUUAUUAUUUCAUAAUUUAGUGGUACAAGUAUCGUGUUAAUUAGCCUCUUGGUAGAUAUGACUUUCAGUUUUCUUCUAUCGUAGUUUUCAGAUUGUUAUAUUUUACUUUUAUCAUAUUCCUUCAUGUUAUUAUUAAUUUGCUACAAAUAGUUGUCCUAUAUUAUUAUGCUCAUAUAUAAAGUAGUUUGUUUUUCUUUAAUCUUAUUUGUUUGGAGUGUUUGUGUAUCAUUAUAAUUUUUGAUAUCAAUGACAAAAUUUUACAGUACACUUUUUAUCUUAAAAAUAUUAUUUUAUUUUUAAAAAUUUUACACUUAAUAAUAUAACAUAUACACAAUAAUUUAUUUUUAAAUAUACAUUUAUUAUUAAUUAAUACAAUACGCAUAUACAAAAUACAAAUAAAGUUAAUUAUAACAAGUAAAUUAUAAAAUUUUACCAAUAAUAUCAAAAUUAGUACUACAUAUAUUAUUUUCUUUGAUACAAUCUGUCAAACAAUAUCUCAUAAUGAUAUAUUUUUGUACCUGUGGAGGACUUUUUUUCCUUUAAAAUUGAGAGUCUCAAUGACCAGCGGACCCCGACCACUAUAUUACUACUCUGUCCCCUACCAUUAUAUGAGCACCCAAAAAGUGGACGAUAAGGACUUAACAUCAAUGUGCAUUCUAUUAAAUACUAAAGGAUCGUUUGGAGUAUUAUUUAUAUAUUAAAAAAAAUCAAUAUAAUAAUUAAUAUAAUUAUGUUUAGUAAUAAUUGAGAAAUUUUUGCUUCAAAAUAACUUAAUUAGCCUCCAUAACUAUAGUUUGUUAGUUACAAUUCAUAGCUACAUGUUAGAGGGAGAAGAUAGACGAACGAGAUUAAGAGAGGGAGGAGAGAGGCGAGUGAGAGAGGGCAGAGAGUGGAGAGAGGUAUAUUGUAUUCAUAUAUCGGUUAGAUGAUUGUAUAUAUGUAACUAGUAUAUAUGUAUAUGUAUCAAUAAUUGUAUUUGUAUAUCUGCAUACAAUUUGUAUCAUAUAGUAUACAAUUGAAUCGAGUUCAAACAUUUGUAUAUCCAGUCUCUCUCGCUUUAUACAAACAUAAAUUAUCCAUUUGUAUUUGUAAAAUUUGUGUUUGUAUAAAGAGAGAGAGACGUGCAGAAGAUAAUUGGGCAGGGAUAGAUUUGUAUUUGUAUAAUUAUGAGUGUUUAAGGCGAAGAGAUAUAUAUGCAUUGUAUUUGUAUAUCCAGUCUCUCCUCGCUUUAUACAAACACAAACACAAACACAAAUACAAAUUAUACAUUUGUAUUUGUAUAAUUUGUGUUUGUAUAAAGUGAGAGAGAGACUGACAGAAUAGAAUCGAGAGAGAGGCGAAGGAUAGAUGACUGAAAAAGAGCAGAGAAGCGAGCGAGAUUUCAGAGAGAGGCGAGAGAGAGAAAUGUAAUUAUAGCUAGAAGUAAGUUCCGACUUGUAAUUAAUGCAAACUGUAGUUAUGUUAGUUAACUAACUAAUAUAUGUUUGCUUAACCACGUAAUUUCUCCAUAAUUUAAUUGCUAUAUAUAAAUUUUAGUGUACUAUAUGUUGCUUAAUUGGUUAUCUAUCUAUAAUUCCACAUAACUAAUACUGAAGAAAUUUAUGUAUUAAUUAUUUUAUAUAGGAUAAAAGAUGGAAUAAUUAAACAUUGCAUAACUUAUACUUUCAUUACUAAUACGUGCACGACUAUAAUCCUUACAUUACCAAAUACCUACAUGGCUCUAACCAACAUUCAAGUGACCCCUAAUAGUUACAUGGAACACUAAAAUUAUCCAUGUUUUAAAAUUUGCAUAAACUUUAAUUAUAUAUUGUUUGGUUGCGAAAAUUGGGAAAAAAUUAAUCUCUAUAUAGAAUCUAGCAUAAGUUAUACAAUGUUCUAUUAUUUUUUUCUUUUUUUCCACUUAAAACAUAACAUUGUGUUUGAUUUAUGUUUUUCUUUUCUACAUAACUAAUAUAUAUAUAAGUUAUGAAAGAAUCACGAUCUAUGUAUAUUAUUUUAUACAUGAUAGAAGAUGAAAUAACUAAUACAUAGCAUAACCAAUAUUUUCAUUACUAAUAUUUACAUAACUAAUCUCUUCAUUAUUAAUACCUGCAUAACUAUAAUCACCGACCAAAUUGACCUCUAAAUAUUGAGGUGUAACCAGGGCCGACUUAACAAGAUUGGGGGGCUUGAAGCGAAAUUUAAGGGAGGGCCCCUAAUAUUUUACUUUUUCAUCAUAUAUACUUUUAUUUAAAAUCUAUUUUUCUAGCCUUUUUAAAUGCGAAAUCAUUAGUUAUUGUUUUAUAAUCAAUUUGUUUUAAUAAUUCCUUUUCACUUGAUAAUAUAGCUAAUCCAUUCAAUCUCUCUUGAUACAUCGUUGAUCUUAAAUAAGAUUUAAUCAAUUUUAGUUUUGAAAAACUUCUUUCGGCUGAGGCAACGGUUAGAGAAACUGUUAACAUUAUUCUAUAAGCAAUAGGUGUAUUUGAAAAAGAAUCAAGUCUUUUAUUUGAUUGUAUAUUUUCGUUAGAUCAUUAUCUUCUACAUGUAUUAUUUCUCUUAACACCUUCAAUUCAAAAAAUAAAUCUAAACUAUCAAUAAUAGAAUAACUAUUAUGUGUUAAAGUUCAAGGUUAAGACAAUGUUUUUAAAAUUCUCAUCAUCUAGUGAUAUCAAUUUACCACUAAAUAAGAAACAAAAAAAUAUUUUCAUAUGAUUCAAUUGGUUCAAAUCUAUUUUGAACUGAAAAAAAUAGAUUCAAUAUUUUGUGAUUUCGUAUCAAAAAUAUAAAGUAAUCAACUUUAGAUUCAAGGGACUUUGUGAUUUCGUUAUUAAUAAUUUCAUCAAAUUAUUUCUUACGAAAUUCGGGUUCUAUAUUCAUUUCAUAUGCAAUUUCCUUAGUAGAAAUCAUAGCACACACAGUACAUAUAAUUUUUUUUUAAAAAAUAACAUUCAUAAGUAAUUUUUUUUAAAAAUAAUGGGGCCCUCCAAAAAAUGAGACUCCAAACGAUUGCUUUAGUGACCUAGGGGUUAAGACGGCCCUGGGUGUAACAAGUAAGUCCAGCAACAUUUGUGUGUAUGGAUUUUGGUGUAGGGAAUGUCUUAUUUGCUCAGCUGUCAUGAUCUGUAAUGAGGUGAUGUCUCAUUCUACCAACAAAAAAAUAAUAAGAGAGACUCUUCUUCUUUCCAGGUCAUACAAAGAAAAAGAAACCAAAAAGGCUCAUAGUGUGGAACUGUGGAUACAAGGAAAACACUUAAAUUUGAUAUAUGGAUUUUCUCACCUUUUCUUUUGAUUCCUUUCAAUUAUUAUGUCUCUCCAGUAAAAGUUACUACUCUUUCUUUUUCACUGUUCCUAACCUAGUAAAGACAAAAACUUUUUUACUAUCACUUACAUCUCCUCUUUUGAUCCUAAGUCUUUCGAAAACAAUCUCUGCCUAUAAAGGCAGGAGGGAUAAGGUUUAUGUAUAGUGGUAAUGACAAAAUUUCGUUAAAAGUGUUAAUGAUUUAAUAUAUAUAUAUAUAUAUAUAUAUAUAUAUAUAUGAAAAAUAAUUUUUGACCUAUAUACUCUCUUCGUCCACUUUUAAUUGUCGUGGUUUUCUUUUUUAGAGUUAAACGAUAAGUACUUUGUCUAACAUUUUACUAUGUAUUUUUUCCUUAUCAUAUUGAUAUGAAUGCAAUUUAUAGUACUUUUCGUAUAAUUUUUGAAUAUCUAAAUUUUUUGUUUAAAAUAUCGAAUUAAUGUAAUCUAAUUUAACUUUAAAAAUUAGUCAAAAUUGACUUUCGAAAAGCGUAACAUGACAAUUAAAAAAAUGGACGGAGGGAGUACUUCAUAUAAUUUUUCGACGAAGGGUGGUCAAGUGUCCGACUAGCUACCCUAAGCUAUAUGUGGCUACCCCACAGUAUAUCCUAGCCUUCCUAAAUACUACUUGUGAGAUUACAUUGAAUAUAUUGUUUGUUAUUGUAGUUAUAACUACUCAUUACACUGGAUAUAUAUUGUUGUUGUAGUUACAAUUACUCAUUACACCGAAUAUGUUAUUUGUUAUAGUUCUAGCUACUCAUUACACUGAAUAUAUUGUUGUUGUCGGAGUUAAAAAGCUACUGAGAUUGGAUGACAACCUCUCUCCAUUAUGAAAGGUACCCCAAGACUUUACAAAAACACAUUUUAUUAGUUAUUUCAUGUGAAAAUUUGAGGUUUGUAACAUCCCCCUUAUAUCAAGAUUUUAUCUUAUUAAGAUAAUUUUAUUCUUUGUGUGUGGAAAUUGUUAAGACAUACACCUUUAAUGCCAACUAUCUUUCUACACAGAGGAAUCAAAAAGUACUUGUACAACUGAUAAGGUAUGUAAUCUUAACUGAAUUGGUGUAAAGAGAGACAGGAUCUGAAGAAAGCUACUCAUAUUAAUUCCUUUUUCUUUAGUUUUACUGAGCAGGCAAAAGAGGGGCUCUUAAACUAUGGUAGAGCUACUUUCUUGAAUGACAUAUGUUUGUGUGAAUGCAUGGACAAGAAAGUGGGGUACUAUGAAACUUUAGCCCAAUGAGUUGUCUUAUGGAAGGAAAUUGGCUGCAUUGCUUCCUUACCAUUUCUCAAAUGGAUUCUUGAAAAUCAACAUUUCUCAGUAAUUAUUUUUUUGAAGUAGUACAUAAUAAAAGUGUACAAUCAAGAGGACCACCAUUUCUUGAUCUGAACUUUAGUACUGAUGGAGUGAGUUCAUCAAGUUGCUACCUUUAUUCAUUCAUGAAGAAGGACAUGAGACUUUUUCAACAGUAAUUUGAACCACAAACUGUCAAUGUUCAAAUUGGAUGAUUUUCUUGAAUGGCAAGUUCAUUUGCAGCUAUAGCAGGAGGAAUUGGAGGGGUUGUAGUAGUGUUCUUGGGAGUGAUUUUCUUUGUAUGUUUUCGGAGUUUUCGCGGAAGGAAGUAUUCAAAUAGGAAUUCAGACUCAGCUUCUUCAGAUCCAUCUGCAGUAGGUAAUGUAGCAAUCAUCACUAUCUAGGUAUGGAAAUUUACGCGAUGCUAACUCUAAGUGUUUCAGUGGAGCUGAAAAGGGGAGGAUCUUUUGGUCCAUCAAGGCUGUUCAGAAUGGAAGAAUUGGAGAAAUCUACAAAGCAUUUUGAUGAGAACAGUCUCAUUGGCUGUGGGAGUUUUGGUCUGGUUUUCAAAGGAUUGCUUUGUGAUGGAACUGUUGUUGCUAUAAAAAGGCGUUUAGGGACUCCAAAACAGGAAUUUACUGAAGAGGUAUGUUUAGCUAUUUAAAGGGGGGUUGAUUGUUUAAUUGAAUUACAAGAAAAGGGCAAGACAACAAGGAGUGGAUUAGUCCUACUCAUGUUUUCACUUCAUUCAUUCCCUUCUUAAGGAAUCGAUACAAUUUUUCCUACUUCAUAUUCCUGUUUUAGAAGUGGAAACCAUCUAAUUCAAUUUUAUGUCUGAUCACUACACAUAUGAUUCUAAAGCUAGCUAUUCUCUAACUUUGCAUUUCGAAUAAUAGGUUGCUCGUUUAUCAAGGAUUCAGCACCGCAAUUUGGUCAGUCUUUUAGGCUACUGUCAAGACAGUGGAUACUCCAUGCUGGUUUUCGAGUAUUUGCCUAAUGGAAGCAUGCACAAUCACUUGUAUGGUAGGGCUCUAUUGAGUAGACAUUACCCGCGAUUAUAUGCCAAAGCUGAAUAUUGGUUCUUUUGUCAGACACAGGAAAGGAAUUUGCAACAAAGCUAGAAUUCAAGCAAAGGUUAUCUAUUGCUAUUGGAGCAGCUAAAGGUAUAUCAUAAAGACUCGUUCGAGUUUAAGUGUCCUGAUUUAUCCAAGAAUGACACUAAAUUUGAUCUUAAAUGUAACAGGUUUAAGUCAUUUACAUAGCCAACACCCUUCAAUAAUCCAUGGGAACUUUAAAACAGCUAAUGUUCUGGUUGAUGAGGACUUCAUUGCCAAAGUUGCAGACGCGGGGAUUCUAAAGCUACUCGAGAAAAUUGAUGAUGCAGGUCCUUCUGGCUUGAGUUCUUUCAAUGCUUUUAAAGAUCCAGAGUAAAUAGCACUUUACCUCAUUUGAAGUUGUAGAAACUUGACUUUGAAUUACUUUUUGAUUCGUUUUCUGUUCCGUGUUCAGGAUAAGCCAAAUUGGAAUUCACUGUGAGACAAGUGAUGUUUACAGUUUUGGAGUAUUCCUGUUAGAGCUUGUAACUGGUAGGGAUGCUUCACAUAUAGAUGAAUUUGGAUCAAACCAAAGUGUACUUGAUUGGGUAAGUUAAAAGAACCAAAAUUCAAUAUCUCCAUCUGCAUCAUUCAUCAUGUUUAUUACUGAAUAUGUUUAUGUAAACUUGGCAAAAAGGUUGAAAAACAGCUGAGUUCAGAGCAGUUAGUGGAUCAUAGGCUGCUGGGAAGCUUCACUGCUGAGGUGAUGAGGGAUUUCGUCAAGAUAGCGUUGAGAUGCAUGAGUUUCCCUGGUAGAUAUAGACCAACCAUGGAAACGGUCGUGUUGGAUCUUGAAAAGAUUCUUGAGAGGGAGAUGAUGCACACAACUGUUAUGGGAGAAGGUACUUCCACUGUUACUCUAGGGAGUCAAUUAUUUACAAACUGAAGCAACGACGGAGUCAUCAAUUACACCUAGUCUGUUUUCAUGAAUGAAUUCGGCCUUUGGGCUACAAGUAAAUGUACAUCAGCUUAAAUAGUUUUUCCCUCCCCAACUUCUUCUGCUUCAUCUAACAAAGCUAGAUGAGCGGAGGGCCGGGGCCUGAAUUAUUAAUCGCAACAUUUUUUCGUUUAAAGUCCAAUACCCCUAAUAGGUGUUUAAGGACAUUAUUGUUUGAUUCAUGAAUAUUAUUCAUCAUGUUUGAUAGAGUUGAUGUGAUAUGGUGAAAGAAAUGAUCCAUUUUAGAUUGUGGUUGUGGCCUUGAUGAUUAUAUUUUAACUAGAAAAAGACUCAUGUUCAAUAAAGUUAAAUGAAGUUCAUGAUAUUAGUACUCUUGAAAUUCCAGUAGUUUAUUCUCAUUGGAUUUAAUCUCAAGAUGAAUAUCGAUAUCCCGGUGCAGAUCAUGAAUUAGAAGAUCUAACAGCACAUUCAGAGCAUGAACAUGAUCACAUUUGAAAGUAUGGACUCUGAAAUAGAGUCCAGUAAGAUACCUCCAAGGACUUAGAAGGCGAAAAUCGUUCAAUAAGAUAAAUGGUCAUAAGAGAUUUCUCAACCUUCAGUAUCCAACAUGUUUCUGUCAUUGAUGUAGUCGUACUGGAUAUCGUAAAACUGCUAUCCUGCAAUGUAGUUAACCAUUCAAUCAACUUAGCCUAAUACCCUUGCCAAAACGAGCACGUAAAGUAGAAAAAAAGGCGUAAAUCAUGCUAUAACCAUAAGGAUAACUCGUUAAUUACCAUAGUUAAGCUAAUUCAUAGUUUUGAUGAGUUUAAGUUAUAUAGACUAAAAGUAUUCGUAAUAAAAAGUCAAAAUUUUCACUUAAAUAGUAUGCAAGUAACUUUUUGCAACACUUUCUUGGUAAAUUUGAGGCUCCUUAUCCCACAGGCACAUACAUACAUAACCCGAGAAUCAUACCAACUAUUACCUACCUCGAAUCAAGCCUCUGAUAUGUAGAAACAACAAAAUAGUAAACAAAUUAAGAACAAAGACAGACAGAAUCCUCUGGAAAGAAAGAACUUUUUAUCUUCUUCAACAUCGUCCAGAGCUUCGAUGGCCUUGUCGGUGGUCAGAGAAAUCGAAGAAUGGUCGUGUAAUAUACACUUGAAUGUUUAAGUUUUAACCUCUCACAAACGCCAUGAAUUCGACACCAAUGAAGACUUGUUCAGCUUCAACCUGCUCCGACUAACACCAGCUCAAAUGUUGGCCAAAAUCCUAUUAAAAACUAUUCAAUACACAAAAUAUAUUUGAAACAAGACCUAAACAUUAUAUGAUAUUAUUGAAGAACUAUUGUAUACGAACAGAAAGAGUAGAUUGCAUGAAUAUCUAAAAUAUUAUGAUAAAAAAUGGUUCUCGAUGUUGUAAAGCAAAUAUGGAUGCCAUGUGGCCCCCAACAAUUUGAGGACUUACAUCACUUGUAAUAGUGUAAAGCCAAGGCUCAUGCCUUGUGGGACUAACCCAUUGGAGGGCCACCAUCACUUGACCAAUUAAAAUGGCCAAGUUAUACAUUUGCAAGUCAUCUUUUGGCUAUAAAUAGCCAUUACAUUUACAAAGGAAUAUAUACGUAUUGAAAUACAUUACUCUCUCAAUUGUCCUUCUUUCAGUAUAUUAAUUUUAGUUAGUUAUUUUAUAACACGUUAUCAGCACGAGUCUCUGCCAGUUCAAGUAAAGACUUUAAAAGCCUCGAAGGUAUAAAUUUUUCUUUCUUAAAUAAUGUCAAAUCUUUCUAAACUUGAAUUUCUUGCUUUAGACAUAUCGGGAAAAGGCUAUNNNNNNNNNNNNNNNNNNNNNNNNNNNNNNNNNNNNNNNNNNNNNNNNNNNNNNNNNNNNNNNNNNNNNNNNNNNNNNNNNNNNNNNNNNNNNNNNNNNNNNNNNNNNNNNNNNNNNNNNNNNNNNNNNNNNNNNNNNNNNNNNNNNNNNNNNNNNNNNNNNNNNNNNNNNNNNNNNNNNNNNNNNNNNNNNNNNNNNNNNNNNNNNNNNNNNNNNNNNNNNNNNNNNNNNNNNNNNNNNNNNNNNNNNNNAUCCAUCAAUCUGCCUAUACUGAGAAAAUCUUGAAACGAUUUUACAUGGACAAAGCACAUCCAUUAAGUACUCCAAUGGUUGUCCGAUCACUUGAGGUGAGUAAAGAUCCAUUCCGACCUCAAGAAGAGAAUGAGGAACCUCUUGGUCCUGAAGUACCUUAUCUUAGUGCAAUUGGCGCACUUAUGUAUCUUGCUAAUGCUACAAGACCUGACAUAACAUUUUUUGUUAAUUUAUUAGCAAGAUAUAGUUCUUCCCCUACAUGAAGACAUUGGAAUGGAGUUAAACAUAUAUUGCGAUAUCUAAAGGGGACGAGUAAUAUGGGUUUAUUUUAUACUAACAAAGAUAGUGCAGAACUUGUUGGUCAUGCAGGUUAUUUAUCUGACCCAGAUAAAGCUCGAUCUCAAACAGGCUAUCUGUUCACAUACGGAGGUACUGCUAUAUCAUGGCGAUCUACGAAGCAGUCCAUUGUCGCUACUUCUUCAAAUCAUGCUGAGAUAAUAGCCAUUCAUGAAGCAAGUAGAGAAUGUGUAUGGUUGAGAUCAGUGAUACAUUUCAUCAAAGAAAGAUGUGGUUUGAAGUAUGAUGUCAAGGUACCCACAGUGCUCUUUGAAGACAAUGCUGCAUGCAUAGCUCAAUUAAGAGAAGGCUUCAUAAAAGGAGAUAGAACGAAACACAUUUCACCAAAAUUAUUCUUUCACACAUGAUCUCCAGAAGAAUGGUGAUAUUGAUGUACAACAAAUCCGUUCAAGUGAUAAUCCAGCAGAUUUAUUCACCAAAUCUUUACCAGCCUCAACUCUUGAGAAGAUGGUACACAAAAUUGGAAUGCGAAGACUUCACAAUAUAAAUCGUGGUCUUCAUCAGGGGGAGUAGAAUACUCGUUGUACUCUUUUUUCCUUAGUCUAGAUUUUGUCCCAUUGGGUUUUCCUAGCAAGGUUUUUAAUGAGGCAACAAACAAAUGCGUAUUUAAAGAUAUAUGUACUCAUUUUCCUUCCCUAAAAGGUUCUUUAAUUAGGCAUAGACAUCCAAGGGGGAGUGUUGUGAACAUAUGGAUGUCUCAACGUGGCUUAUGGAUAGUACGUGUAUGGCAAGAUUAAAAGUGUGACUUUUGUGUGCACCUUGUGUCAAGAGAUGGAUGGCUUGUGUCUGCCAUCCACUACCUCAUGCACAUUGCCUAUAAAAGGGCUUUGCACUUCAUUUUGAAGAAUAGAACGAAUGAAGGAAUAAAUACAGUACAUUACUUUUUCUAUUGUUCUUCUUUUAGUGUAUUAAUUUUAGUUAGUUAUUUUAUAACACGUUAUCAGCACGAGUCUCUGCCAGUUCAAGUAAAGACUUUAAAAGCCUCGAAGGUAUAAAUUUUUCUUUCUUAAAUAAUGUCAAAUCUUUCUAAACUUGAAUUUCUUGCUUUAGACAUAUCGGGAAAAGGCUAUUUAUCAUGGGUACUUGAUGUAGAAAUUCAUCUUGAUGCGAUGGGUCUGGCAGACACCAUCCAAGAAAAAAAUCAAACAUCGAAUCAAAAUUGUGCUAAGGCAAUGAUAUUUCUCCGUCAUCACCUUGAUGAGAGUUUAAAAAUGGAAUAUCUCACUGUUAAAGAUCCUCUGGUGUUGUGGACUAAUUUAAAAGAUAGAUAUGACCACCUGAGGUUGGUCGUCCUUCCACAGAGAAAACAUUUUCCACUUUCCCUGCCUCGAGUAUGCUCCUACAGCAGUAAUACCGAGAAAUGGGAUUUAAAAAAUAUUCAGAAUUAAUUUCACAUCUCCUUGUUGCUAAACAACAUAAUGACUUACUGAUGAAAAACCAUGAAAGUCGACCUGCUAGUUCUAUGCCAUUUCCUGAAGUAAAUACGGCAAAUUUUCACCAAUCUAAGCGCGGAAAAGGUCAUGGCCCCAGUCGUGGCCGUGGCCGUGGUCGAGGAAGAAAUUUCAAUCAUGGUGAUCGUCUUGCACUAAAUAAUAACCUUCACCACCAGCAGUGUAAAAAGAAGGAUGAAAAGCAUGAAGUGGUGCAGAAGAAAAAUUCAGACAACAAAUGUUAUCGUUGUGGUGGAAAAGGGCAUUGGUCACGUACCUGUCGUACACCAAGGCACCUGGUUGAGCUAUAUCAAGCUUCCCUGAAGGAAGUGAAAAAUAACGCAGAAGCCAACUUUAUCUCUGAAGAUAAUGUUGAACCCAUGCAUCUAGAUAUAGGAGAUUUCUUUGAGAAUCCCGAAGGAAAAAUAGAUCACCUGAUAGGUGAUGGGUCUGUAAUAAUGUAAAUAUAUUUUACUUCUGUCGUUUGUAUGAACUAGUAUGAAUAUGUUUUCCUAGUCUUGUAAAUAAAUAAAAGGUUGUGUAAUGUUUUCUUUUAGUAAUAAUAUUAUAAUGUUUACUUCGUUUAUAUCUUUUAUCUUGAAGAGUAUAUGUAUACCUCUCAAAUUUUGUUUGGAUCAAUGAUCAAUCAUGAAGAUAUUUGUGUAAUUGAUAGUGGAACAACGCACACUAUAUUCAAAAAUGAGAAAUACUUCUCUUACUUGCUUAGAAGAAAAGCAAAUGUUACUACAAUUUCUGGUAAUUCGAACUUAAUAGAAGACUCCGGAAGAACUACAAUUUCUGGUAAUUUGAAUUUAAUAGAAGGCUCCUGAAGAGCUACUAUAUUUCUGCCUAAGGGGACAAAACUUGUUAUAGAAGAUGCAUUGUUCUCUUCUAAAUCCCCAAGAAACCUGUUAAGUUUUAAAGAUAUUCGCCGAAAUGGAUAUCAUGUUGAGACAAUAAAUGAAAUGAAUGUUGAGUACCUUGGUAUUACCAAGAUUGUCUCAGACCAGAAAUAUGUGUUAGAGAAAUUAUCAACUUUAUCUUCUGGCUUAUAUUAUGCAAAAAUAAGUACAAUUGAAGCACCCUCUAUCGUAAACUAGAAGUUUACUGACUUAAAAACUUUUGUGCUUUGGCAUUACCGAAUAGGUCAUCCUGGAUCAAUAAUGAUGAGACGAAUCAUUGAAAACUCAAAUGGACAUCCAUUAAAGAACCUGAAGAUUCUUACAAAUGAUAAGUUUUCAUGUGCUGCUUGUUGUCAAGGCAAAUUGAUUACUAGGCCAUCACCAAUGAAAGUUAUCAUUGAAUCCCCUCAAUUUUUAGAACGUAUACAUGGGGGUAUUUGUGGACAUAUUCACCCAUCUAGUGGGUUGUUUAGAUAUUUUAUGGUCCUAAUAGAUGCGUCUUCAAGAUGGUGUCAUGUGUGCCUCUUAUCAUCUCGCAACUUGGCGUUUGCGAAAUUAUUGGCACAAAUGAUAUGAUUAAGAGCGCAAUUUCCAGAUUAUCCCAUUAAGGCAAUUCGCCUGGAUAAUGCUGGAGAAUUCACGUCCCAAGCUUUUGAUGAUUAUUGCUUAUCAAUAGGGAUAAAAGUUGAACAUCAAGUAGCUCAUGUUCAUACUCAAAAUGGCCUUGCUGAGUCAUUUAUUAAGCGCUUACAAUUGAUAGCAAGACCUCUACUUAUGAAAACUAAGUUGCCCACUACUGUUUGGGGUCAUUCUAUCUACAUGCAUCAUUCUCUGUUCGUCUCAGACCGACUCAUUAUAAUAAAUACUCUCCGUCACAAUUGGUAUUUGGUCAUGAACCAAAUAUUGCUCAUCUACGAAUUUUUGGAUGUGCUAUAUAUGUGCCAGUAGCACCACCUCAGCUCACUAAGAUGGGCCCCCAAAGAAGGCUAGGCAUAUAUAUUGGGUUUGAUUCGCCCUCCAUAAUUCGCUACCUUUAGCCAUUGACGGAAGAUUUAUUCACUGCAAGAUUUGCAGAUUGUCGAUUUGAUUGAAACAAGUUUUCCGCAAUUAGGGGGAGAGAAAAAGGAACUUAAAAGUAAAAUUGCAUGGAAAGUUUCAUUCCCCUGUAUGUGAACAAGAGGUCCAGAAGAUCAUCCAUUUGCAAAACAUAGCAAAUCAAAUGCCAGACGCAUUUACUGAUUUGAAAAGGAUAACAAAGUCACAUAUUCCUACAGUGAAUGUGCCUAUCCGAAUUGACGUCCCAAAAGGACCAUCUACAAAUGUCAUGGCUUCUGAAUCAAAAACACGCCUGAAGUGUAGUAGACCAUUGGGUUCAAAAGACAAAAAUCCUAGAAAAAGAAGCACAAAAAGUAAAGAUGACACUAUAAAAGAGUCUCAUGAAGAAGUUCAAGAUCUGAUUAAUCCUGAUAUUCUUGAAGAAAUCAGUGAACCCGAGACUCAAGUAAAUGAAGAACUUUCAAUAAGUUCUACGGGUAAUGGGAUAAACUUAGAUCGAUCGAAAAUCAUAGUGGAUAAUAUUUUUGCAUAUAAUGUUGCACUUAACAUUAUGUAAGACAGUGAGGAUCUUGAACCCUUAUCUGUCGAAGAAUGUCGACGAAGAUGUGAUUGGCCAAAAUGGCAAGAGGCAAUUCAAUCAGAAUUGAACUCACUUGCUAAACGUAAGGUUUUUGGACCUGUAGUCCAAACCCCAAAUGGUGUAAAAUCUGUUGGCUAUAAAUGGGUUUUUGUGCGAAAAGGAAAUGAGAGAAAUGAAGUUGUAAGAUACAAGGCACGCCUUGUUGCACAAGGAUUCUCUCAACGACCCGGUGUCGACUAUGAAGAAACAUAUUCACCAGUUAUGGAUGCAAUAACUUUUCGAUAUCUCAUCGGCUUAGCUGUACAUGAAAAUCUUGAAAUACAUCUAAUGGAUGUGGUUUCAGCUUAUAUUUACGGUUCACUUGAUAAUAAAAUUUAUAUGAAAGUUCCAGAAGGACUUAAAAUGCCUGAAGCAUAUAGUUCAAAACCUCGGGAAAUGUGUUCAAUCAGAUUACAAAAGUCAUUAUACGGCUUAAAACAAUCAGGGCGCAUGUGGUAUAAUCGCCUCAGCGAGUACUUGAUAAAACAAGAUUAUAUAAUCGAUGCCAUUUGUCCUUGUAUUUUUAUUAAGAAAACAACAUCUGGAUUUGUUAUUCUUGUUGUUUAUGUUGAUGACAUUAAUCUCAUUGGAACUCCAAAAGAUGUUCAAAAGGCAAUUGAAUAGCUAACUAAAGAAUUUGAGAUGAAAGACCUUGGUGAGUAAAGAUCCAUUCCGACCUCAAGAAGAGAAUGAGGAACCUCUUGGUCCUGAAGUACCUUAUCUUAGUGCAAUUGGCGCACUUAUGUAUCUUGCUAAUGCUACGAGACCUGACAUAGCAUUUUCUGUUAAUUUAUUAGCAAGAUAUAGUUCUUCCCCUACACGAAGACAUUGGAAUGGAGUUAAACAUAUAUUGCGAUAUUUAAAGGGGACGAGUAGUAUGGGUUUAUUUUAUACUAACAAAGAUAGUGCAGAUCUUGUUGGUCAUGCAGAUGCAAGUUAUUUAUCUGACCUACAUAAAGCUUGAUCUCAAACAGGCUAUUUGUUCACAUAUGGAGGUACUGCUAUAUCAUGGCGAUCUACGAAGCAGUCCAUUGUCGCUACUUUUUCAAAUCAUGCUGAGAUAAUAGUCAUUCAUGAAGCAAGUAGAGAAUGUAUAUGGUUGAGAUCAGUGAUACAUUUCAUCAAAGAAAGAUGUGGUUUGAAGUAUGAUGUCAAGGUACCCACAGUGCUCUUUGAAGCCAAUGUUGCAUGCAUAGCUAAAUUAAGAGGAGGCUUCAUAAAAGGAGAUAGAACGAAGCACAUUUCACCAAAAUUAUUCUUCACACAUGAUCUCCAGAAGAAUGGUGAUAUUGAUGUACAACAAAUCCGUUCAAGUGAUAAUCCAACAGAUUUAUUCACUAAAUCUUUACCAGCCUCAACUCUUGAAAAAAUGGUACACAAGAUUGGAAUGCAAAAAUUCAACCAUCUAAAUCGUGGUUUUUAUCAGGGGGAGUAAAAUACGUAUUGUACUCUUUUUUCCUUAGUCUAGGUUUUGUCCCACUGGGUUUUCUUAGAAAGAUUUUUAAUGAGGCAACAAGUAAUGCGUAUUAUGUAUGUCUAUGUAUAUUUUUGUUUUUUCAACUUUUCUUUUACAUGGACAUCCAAGGGGGAGUGUUGUAAAGCAAAUAUGGAUGUCAUGUGGCCCCCAACAAUUUGAGGACUUACAUCACUUGUAAUAGUGUAAAGCCAAGGCUCAUGCCUUGUGGGACUAACUAAGGCUGGGCAUCGGAACGGGUUGUACCGGUACCAUUCCGAUCCAUUCCGACUUUUUUGUUUAUUUAAUUUUUUUAAAAUUACAAACUUAAGUUAUUUAACUUACAAGUUAUAAGUAUAACUUAAUAACUUAUAAACUUCAAAAGAUUCAAAUCUUUAAAACUUAUAACAUAACUACAUAAGCUCAAAAACUAAAAAAAAAACUUUAUUAAACUUAACUUACAAACUUAUAUACGUAAAAAUUAAAAAAAAUAUCUUUAAAAUAAACUUAAGUAAAAUUAUUAUAAAUUUUAAAACUUAAAUACUAUAAACUAAUAUAACUUAGAAAAAUAAAAAAAACAUUCGUAUUUUCGUAAUUCAAAAUAACUCAAAAAAAAUAAUUAUUUUUUGAAAUAGCUAUAUGUGCCGUCCCGUUUAUCCCAUCCCGUUCCGUUCCGGUCCAUUCCGGUCCGUCCCGAUUCUAUCCCGGUAUAUAGUGGGACGGGACGGAACUGAGCCUCCAUCCCGAUAGUUCCGGUCCGGUUCAUCCCGGUACCGGUCAACAACCCGGUCAAACCGUCCCGUUCCGAUCCGGUGGUCCCAUUCCGAUCCGGUGCCCAGCCUUAGGACUAACCCAUUGGAGGGCCACCAUCACUUGACCAAUUAAAAUGGCCAAGUUAUACAUUUGUAAGUCAUCUUUUGGCUAUAAAUAGCCAUUACAUUUACAAAGGAAUAUAUACGUAUUGAAAUACAUUACUCUCUCAAUUGUCCUUUUUCAGUAUAUUAAUUUUAGUUAGUUAUUUUACAACACUCGAUAGUUUCUGGAUAACCAAACAAAAUGAGCUCUCACAAAAAGACUAAAAAAUUAUAUUGUUAGAUGCCUAAUAUAUUGUUUCCUCCGUUUAAAAAAAAUGACUUUUGAAUCUUGUGUUACUAAAUUAAAGUUAUGUCAAAUGUACAAAAUUGCCCUUUAAUCUUGUGGCCUUAAACAUGCCACGUGGAAAGUUGCAAUUAAAAUGUUACCAAAAAAAGAAAGAGGUCAUUCUUUUUUAAACAGACUAAAAAGGAAAGUAGGUCAUACUUUUUGAAAUAGAGAGAGUAUUUAUUACUCAUAUUAUAUAUAAGAGAAAAGACAUAAAGUGACACCUGAACUUGUCCCAAAUUUUCAAAAAGACACCUUAACUAUGCAGACGUCCUAUUACCCCACUAAACAAUCUUGAACUGAUAUUAUAACAUCAUUUUUUGUCCACCUGACAUAGAGAGUGUGUGUUGAGAGAGUGAGCAACCUAAAAUAACUAAUAUAAUUUUAUUAUAAAAUAUUUUUUAUUAUUAUUUUAACUUUUUUUCCUUAUUAUUUUUUUCUCUUUGUUUCUUCUUUCUUCUUCAAAAAUUCAUUGUUAUCUCCAUUGAAACUUCUCACCCUCACAAUGUCACCAUUUUUACCACAACUUCACCUUCCCUUUUUUACUACUAUUAGUUUUACUCUCUUUAAUUUUAAAAUUUUAUCUAAAUAUUUUCUUACAUUUCGAACAAUUUGAUAAACCCAUUAGAUUUCAAGAUGACUAAGAGGUAUCAUAUAGUUUUUUUUAUCCGAUUUCAAUCAAGUUCUUUCAAUUUUUGGGGAGUUCAUUGAUUCUUUUAAAAUUAUCAUUUCUAAUUUUGAAGUUAUAUGAAAAUGAGUAAUUGAUGAUACCUUCAAAAAGUUAAAUUUUCUUAGAAAAAUAAUUAAUUUUGUUAUCAAUAAUUUAAUAAAGUCUAGAAAAUAGUAUGAUUUUUUUUUAUAUAAAAAAAUCAUUAAAAUAAAGAAUUUGAUUGGAGAUGAAGAAAAAAAAGAAAAGAAAAAAUAGGGAGAGAGGUUCAACUUGACGUCGAGGAUGGGGUGAGGGUGAAAGGUGAAGAAAAAGAAAGAAAAUGAAGGGAUGAAUCAACUUGAAAUGGGGGGGGGGGGAUAUGAAAUCAAAUUAAAAUAAGUCAAAAAGUAAGAGAGAGAAAUAAAGAAAAAACUAAAAAUAAAAAAAAUAAAAUUAAUUAAAUUAACACGUGUCAUGCAAUGAUUGGUGUGUGAACACACUUGCUUUUUAAAAUUUGGGGCUGAUAAAAAAAUGAUAUAAUAAUAACAAUUCAAUAUUGUUUAGUGGGGUAAUAGAACGAUUGUAAAGUUAAGAUGUCUUUUUGAAAACUCUGAACAACUUUAGUGAUGACUUUAUGUUUUUUUUCGAUAUAUAAUUAUCAGAAAAAAGUUACUGUUAUAUGGGACUUGAGCUCAGUUUUCAAUUGGUAGAAGAAGCCAAUGGGAGACAAAUUUGAUGGAAUGCAAGUAGCUGUAUAUAUGCAAUCGAUUUGCAGCGAAGAAAUACAUUAGUGAGCUAAUAUAAAAAGAAAGAAAAAAAGAAAAGAAAAAUAGUUUAUUUUAGUGACAUUCAAUACUCUUUAAUAGUAUUUGGUUGAGAUUUCAAUUACUCCUUCCCUUCACUUUUACUUGUCACAGUUUAAUUUAAUACACCAUUAAGAAAGUAAUAAUGAUAUAAAUAUGGAACACUAAUGUGAAAAAGAAGUUCUAAAGUGUGUGGUAAAAGAGAAAAAAAAUAUGGAUUAUUAUGGUACUAAAUUUGUUACAAUAUAUUUAGUUUCUAUCACACUUUCAACUUUUUUUUAGUUUAGGAGUUUUUUUUUUUUUCGUGUCUGAAAAAGUAAAAAUAUUUGAAUUAUUGCAAGAGUCCAAUUCUUUUGUAAAUCGUUGUUCAAAGCUUGAAAUCUCAAUUCAAUUUGUUGGUUAUCGAUGUGAGGCCAAAAAUACAUAUUUUUAGUUAUUAUUUGUUUCAUAUUUAGUAUUUUUAUUUGUACUUUUUGAGCAUUAAUUUUAUAAAUUGUGCUUAAUAAUGUAUUUUAUUUUGAAGAACUAAAUUGACGUGAAAUGAAAAAAUCUGAAACUAAACGAAUAAAAGAUUGAAAAUUAGUUUUUCAAACAAGAAGAUUAUAUCUUCAAGAAUAGUAACUUUGAACAUAAAUCCUAGGUACAGAAAUCAAAUAAAGUGUCAAUUAUUUAAGAGUGUUUGGUAUAGAGGGAAAAUGUUUUCCAAUUUUUUCAUGUUUGGUUGGCUUAAAUGUUUUGAAAAUCUUUUUCAAAUCAACUUAUUUUCCUCAAAUUUAAGAAAAAUGACUCAUCUUCCAAAACUAAGGAAAAUAUUUUCUAAAACUCUACUUCAUCCUUAAUUUUUUUUUCUUACCCUACCCAUAACCUGCACCCGACCCUCCUCAUUCAAUUUUUGUUUUAUUUAUAAGUUUUCUUAUUUUUUAAAUUUCAAAUAUAUUUUUAUCCUACCACAAAACUACCCCGGUCAAACAAAAAAAAAGAAAUUUUAAAAAUUAUAUUUGAAAAAUGUUUCAAAUUUUAAGAUUUAAAAAAAAAUUAAAAAACUUUUCAUGUUUUACGCCACCCCACUUCUAUCCCCCUCCCCCCGCGCCACCCCCAACCCAGGCCUUCCCAAUCAGUUUUUUUAAAAAAAGAAAAUUGUUUUUGUAAAAUAUUUCAAAUUUUAAAAAAAAAUCAUUUUUACGCCACCCUCUACCCUUCCCACCAGUGGCGGAGCCAGGAUUUUCGUCAAGGGUGUUCAUACUUUAGGACAAGUUAAAAAAUAAACCUUGUUGGUCAAAUUAUAAAGAUUGGUUACAAAAUAGUCAUACCUCAAUUAUUGAUUUCUACAUAGUGCUCCAAGUUGUUCAUACUCUUUACUUGUUCAAUAUCAAAUUAACCAACUAUCCAAAAUGAAAAUUCUUAAAACGGAAAUUUACAAAAUUUCAAUGGUUCUCGAGUGCAAGUUCCUCCCAGGGUGUAGGCUCGGGGUGUGACAGAAGACUAGUUCUAGACACGUGCAUUGCAUGUAUAUCUCUGACAAUCAAUACAUACAUUUAAAAUGUAAGUAUUAUUAAAAUAUGUGUGUGAUAUUCAAAAUUAAAUUUGAAAAGAAUAGAACUCAAAAGAUAAUAGGUGUUCAUAUAUGUCAAAGCAAUAUCGUAGUUGAACUUGAAAUGAAUGGGUAGAACGAUUAUUAUAUGUUAAAUUAAUUUUUGAAGUUACAAUUUGGUUGUGACUCUUUCUAUAGAGUCCAUUCAGUAUAACAACAAAUAAAAGUCUCAACUAAGAUAUAGUAACAUAGUAUGGGUUUUUAAAUGUUAUUUAUUUAGCGUGAGUAAAGUUAUUUGACAUAGCCUUUGAAUGAAUAUAUAUGUAUCGUGAUAGUAAAUUUAUCAUAGACUUAUUCAAAAUAAAAUGGAUGCUUAUUAUCUAUAAUUAUCCAUGUGCUUUUUGGCACAAUAAGUAUAGCAUGCAAAACAAACUCUACACCUUUAAUAACAACAUAAUAACAUUCUUAAACUUAUAAAAAUGAGGAUAAUAAUUAAAAAAUAAAAACUUGUUGUGAAAUAUUAGCAAUAUAAAAUAAUAUAAGACAAUAAAUAUAUGAACAAGAUAUAUGGGAGAGAAUGCUUUCUUAUAUAUUUCUUAUGUACUUUUCGAUUAUAUCUUUUAUAAAAUAAUCAUCGCCUAUUUAUAGUACAAAAUGUCUCUUCAAAGUUACAUGAAGUUCAUUUAUUUCGUACAUGAACUUCAAAGAGAGUUAUAGAUGACAUCCACAUUAAUGCAUUUAUAGUACUCCCCCUUGGAUGUCUAUAGAUAAUGUGUCUCGUUAAACCUUACUAGGAAAAAUCUAGUGAAAAAAAUCUUUGAGUGCUGCCUCAUUAAAAACCUUACCAGAAAAACCUAAUGGGACAAAACCUUGGUUAAGGGAAAAUGAGUAUAGCGCGUAUUUUACUCCCCCUGAUGAAAACUUUAUUUGAUAUCUUGGAGAUGACACAUUUACUCCCCCUGAUGAAAACUUUAUGAAAACUAAGACAUUUAAAAAUACGAAAGCAGAUUUAAAUGACUAUAAAAAUAGAGUCCCUAUAAACUCCAAGGUUUUAACAAACAACUAACCAAACUAAUACGGAAGAACAACUCCUAGAACUUGAAAGUCAUUGUACCAAAACUCUACUAACGACAAGUCUAAGAACAAGGGGUACUACUCCGAAACUAAACAAACACCUUAAACAAAUAGUCUGAGUCCGAAAAGAAUGGACUUAAACGAGAGAGAUCCAUGGCAGCCUGAAAGAAUUGGUUCACCCUUGAAUCCGGUCACGAUCAAUAGUCACUUAGCUGAGGUCUAUCAAUAGCCACCUGAAGAUGUCCUGUACUCAAUAAAGAACAAGCAAGUGCAGUAUCAGUACACAACCACAAUGUGCUGGUAGGAUCACGCGGCUAUCUCAACAAGUGAAACACAUGCAAGUAACCACAACAUUAUAAAACAGGCAUAUACCGAACAUAUACAAUAUNNNNNNNNNNNNNNNNNNNNNNNNNNNNNNNNNNNNNNNNNNNNNNNNNNNNNNNNNNNNNNNNNNNNNNNNNNNNNNNNNNNNNNNNNNNNNNNNNNNNNNNNNNNNNNNNNNNNNNNNNNNNNNNNNNNNNNNNNNNNNNNNNNNNNNNNNNNNNNNNNNNNNNNNNNNNNNNNNNNNNNNNNNNNNNNNNNNNNNNNNNNNNNNNNNNNNNNNNNNNNNNNNNNNNNNNNNNNNNNNNNNNNNNNNNNNNNNNNNNNNNNNNNNNNNNNNNNNNNNNNNNNNNNNNNNNNNNNNNNNNNNNNNNNNNNNNNNNNNNNNNNNNNNNNNNNNNNNNNNNNNNNNNNNNNNNNNNNNNCACCUAUCUCGAAUCCAAGCUUGAAUCCCCUAAGGCACUUGAAUCUUCCCUUUUCGGAUUCUUCCCGCUUGUUGUGGUCAAAAAACAUACAAUUAACGCAAGGAUCAAUAAACGAGGCCUAAUUACCCGGAUUAUAAUCAACAUUAUCAACCCUAGGCCAACCCAAGAUCCCAAUACCCAAAUUAGGGCUUUUUCCACCAUUAACUCCAUAUCAAAACCUUUCCCCAAUGAUAAUUACCCAAGAAACUACAUUCUACGGAUCGAAAUACGAAUUCGGGGAGUGAAAACCUUACCUUUAGCCUCAAGAAUGGUGAAAAAUGGUCAAGAACUUGUCUGGGGUCGUUCCUUAGCUCUCAAAGUUGAAAAGUGCAGAAUAAAGUCGUUUUGUGGUUUAUUUACGACCUUAAGUCGCAUCUGGCCCUCCAUAUCAACCUUCACCCCGCUACAACGGCCGCGCCCUGGCAGCAGAAAUCCCGCCCCAACGUCUUGCACAUAAUCAAUGAGCUAUUUUAAUAAUUCCAAGACCCCCAUUUCACCACACAUCUUUAAUCAACGACGCUAAAAAAAUAUCGUUCAUGCUAAGAUCGAUUCCGGGAGUUCUACUCACUCGAAUUCAAUUCCGUAAAGUCGUACGGGUUCCUUAACGACCUAUCUAACUAUUCAUGUAAUAAAAGAAUCAUAAAUAAGUCACUCGGUUGUUAUCAGAUUUCCUUACACCUUAAUGGCUCCGAUUUCGUCUAAAUCUGAACUAGGUUGGGAAAUUUCAAGUUACUACGUAAAAGUUUUCUGACCCCAAUUCUUUCUCCAUUGGCUUUUCCCUAACGACAGAAUCAAGUCGUUACAAUAGAUACCAAUUUAUCCAUCACUCGUCCCCGAGUGAUCAACUAGGAAAGACUGGCUAAAGUAAGGGUAGAGUAGUAUCUGAAUCAUUGAAUUACUGGGGAUACUUGUCUCGCAUGCCCUUCUUACUGAAUCUCAUUACCCCCCAAGGGUUCACAUCUCCAACCUCAAACCAACCAAUUCAAUACCUACACAUCCUCUCUUACAAUGCCUCAAUGAAGUCAUCUCAACACUCGAAUGAUAAAUAUUGUUGUAUGUAAAGUUAACUAACAACAAAACGAUUCCCAACAACCACCAAAGUUGAUCGUACACACCUUUGCCACUUGUUAUCAAAGAUCUUGACACAAUCAUCAGGACUAAUCCUUUCUCACAUAAGCAUGAUAACAUUCUAAAUCAAUACUCGCUACAAUUAGAAGUGAACCGGAACCAACCAACACACACUCAUAAUACUCAACCAAUCAUAGUUCUUAUUGAACAUCUCCUUCUUCACAACAUAAAUUUCCAUGAUCUUAAGUUACAAAAUUUGAUCUUUAGACAUCAGAUACUCAUCGAGGGAUAUGUCCAAGCAGACAACCCUCUAACCAUACUAUUGAAUGCUACAUUUAGCAAUUAUGAUUGUAGAUUACCCUUAAGAACAGUAGAAUUGGACCCAAUGAUCCCCACAUUCAUCCACACACAAUCAAUACAUGACCUCAACGACAAGAUGAAAUAUUAGAUUGUCGGACAACCAUAAAUAUGCAUGGUAGCUCUUCUAUAAACUUUCAUAAGCAAGGUGGUACAUGUAAAACCACUGACAUACCUUAACAACUUCAAGACAACACCAAUUAUGUCAUUCGAUAUAACCAAAUCUUCCCAAUCUUCCCACUCAACCAAGAGAACAUCGCAAGAUUUGGUACCCCUGAUCCACCACUAGGGAUCCACCCAAAAAAGCGAAAACACACGAUAGCAUAACUAGUGAAUCAUACUCACAAUACUAACUACCAUCAUAAACACUUCGACUUUUUACCUUAUUACAAACCAACACUUUUUAAAUGAAACCUUUCUUAGGUACUUAACAAUCAAUAGUAAUAAACUUUACGACUCAACCAGGUGUAAGUCUUUUCAAAGGUUCAAUACCUGAUACAAUUGACCAUUCUUCACCUUGCUAAUUCAUCCCUUGACAAAAUAUAUUACCACGAAUAUAGACUUACAAUGAAAAAUAUGAAUUGUAAAUUCAAUCGUAUAACACAAUCCCCUUAUCUAUCGAAAUUAGCUUGUACCUUAAAGAUUCUUAUGAAUUCAUAGAUCUUCGCUUAUCAUUGAUCGCAUCUCCAUCGAUCUUACAAUAUCCUUCAAUAAAAAUUCAAUCAUACUCAUUACUAAACUCAAAAACGAAAACAAGCACUUAUCAUCACGCUCAAGCUAAUGUCUGCACAAUCAUUUCUCACUUUUUCAAUAGUUUUUAACCCAUCUGAUGGACCCAUGACACUAUUACCAUAGCCACAUCAAAACAAUGAAAUCACGCGUCUCUGAACCCAAUUAUCUACCCCUCUGUAGAUACCUCUUUAGCCUUAAGAAUACAAUAAAAAUAUUCUUGCUCUCGCCUCUCUCUCUCUAAGGCUAUACUACAUUCUACUAUAUUUACCUUCAUUAUAACUCUAGCCAUUUAACAUUCUAUUUGAGUGGUUGCCUACCAUCUCUUAUAAUUUUCCAUACACCCAUGUUACUCACCAAGUAUUAGAAAACCACAACUUAGAUACUUGUAAGUCGUAAUUACAGUACAAAUUUCGCUUAACCAAUAAUCUCAUUAUAUAUUUGCAUCCCGUCACAAUCCACCACGAACUCUUAUUACUAUUAUGCUCUGUUAGCCCUGGCUAUAACUACGAAGUCAACCUUUCCAUCAACACAACACCUCAAACUUAGGUAUACUCAUCAAAUUCAAAGGACUAACCCAAUUUUUAUACGCACCUUCUUACUAGCAUCUUCAAUUUUCUCCACCCAGGUAUACUCAAUAGGACUUUCUUUAUCCAUAAGCUUGUCAUUCUGGUAUUAAUCCACUCCAUUAUGGCUCAAUAUAAAAUCACUAGUCCUCAUACUACCCUCCCACUUCUUAACAACAAGACAUAAGCACCCCACGGGGAAGCACUAGGACGGAUGAACCUUAUCAAGAAGAUCUUGGAUUUGAGUCUUAAGCUCUCUUAAUUUUGCUAGAGCCAUACGAUACAGAGGGAUGGAAAUGGGGUGAGUGCCAGUUUCCAAGUCAAUGCAGAAAUCUAUAUCUCUAUCUGGAGGCAUACCAGGCAAAUCCAUAGGAAACACUUCCUUUAACUCAGACACCACAGGAACAGACUCAAUAGAGGGAGACUCAACCUCAACAUCCCAAACAUGAGACAAAUAAGCCAAACAACUCUGCCCUACCAAUUUCCUAGUCCGAAUGGAGGAUAUGAUCUUAGCUAGCUUAGGCUUGUACACUCAUUCCCACUCUAAUCUUUCCCUACCGUGGAUCUCUAGAGUUACCGACUUAAUAUUACAAUUAAGCCCGGUAUAAUAGGGGGACAAUCAAGUCAUGCCUAAGAUUAUAUCAAGUCAGUCAUAUCCAACAUAACCAAAUCAAUUCAAAUCUAAAAAUUCAUAACCACAACAGGACAACACGAUACACAUGGGUGACUAUGACUAACUCUUCAACUGGGGUAGAAACAUGGAUGGGGGCAUCAAGUAUAUCACAAACCACAUCAAAUCUCAAGGCAAUUGAACUGACACUUACGUAUAAGUAGAAUCCGGAUCAAACAAAACAAUAGCCAUCCGGGCACAGACAAGAAUAGCACUUGUGACCACUGCAUCACACCCUCAAACUCGAUCUUGCCUAGAAAAACAUAAAACUGAGCCCUGUCAUCUUGAUGGGCACCCUCCUUGACUGGAUACACUACUCCUUUACCCGCAUUACCAUUUCCCCGGCCUCCACAGUCUUACUGAUUUCCUCCUCAUAUGCCCAGGUUCUCCACAAUUAUAACACACUUGAUAACUUAAUGUAACCAAAUAAGCCUCGUUGUUAUUGGAGCAGUCGUAUCCUGACCAUUCUUGAUAUACAAUCAAUCCAUGAACUCGCAGUAUGGCUUCUAACCUCAAUUUGUUGAACACUGAUUGGAUUGCAGGGGUUAGUUCAGAUUUGAUUCGGGUUUCAUAAGAGAUCUGGGGAAAACAAAGGAAACAUGGCUGAGAUUCUAUCUCGCCCUGUCUCGCUCUGGCAGGAGAAAUCCCGCACUGGCGGUCUCGCCGUGACGGGGAAAAUCUCGCUCCAGCGACCGUGACGGAAACAUAACCUAAGCCAACAAUUUCUGGGGUUCCUCUCUUUUCUACAUUUUCCCUAGAUUUCCUGGUUAUAACUAGGCAUUUAAGAAAAAUCCAUUUAGCUAGGACAAUCAUUGUCUACCCCCCGGUCAACCCAACAAAAUACGCACUUUAGAAUCAUUUUACAUCGUUUCAACACUACCACACACAUAUCCCCAGACUCUCACACGGUUAUCAGUUAGUCGCAACACACGUCCAAAUUUCUCUCUUACAAAUCACAUCGUAAUUUAUCUAGACCUUUGCACGUAAUCUAGUGAUGACUUUCCUUUAGCAACAAGUUUCACGACACUCAAGCAUUUUCAACUUGUAGAUAAGUCCAAAUUCUUUAAUUAGUUCAUUCCAUAGACGGCCAUUACUGAUCAUCCAUGCCUUAUACGGCCCCUAAGGCCAGAUACCAAUUGGAACUAGCCCAUGGGGCCGAUCUAAUCCUACCCAUUAUUGGGGUAGGGUUGGGAUAGGAUUUUUCAAGCCCAUUUAAAAUUAGGGCUUAUAAACCCAGCCUAUAUAAGCCUUUGGCCCUUGAGGCUUAAUCGGGGCUGGGCCGGGUCUACCCAUGGGCCAAAACUUUUUAUUCAAGAGUAAUUUACAAUAAUCUCACUAGUACAUAAUCUAAUAAUUUGUAUACACGCUAUGUUGUAAUACUAUAAAUCUUCGUAUCCAGAUACAUGUAUCUCACAAUAUAUGGACUCAAAAUUAGGUUAAUUUGUUCUAGAUACACUCUAUCAAAGUAGAUUCGCAUGUAUCUAGGAUACAUAUACAGAUCUCUUUAAUUCCCUCGCUUCCUUUCCAUCUUGCUUGUCACUCUCUUAUCUCACUUGCAUAUCUGGUAUGCAAGAUACAUGUUAAUUACACUAAAUUUUUGCUAGUGUUAUUGAAACAACACCAUUGUUUGUCAUAUUUGAUGUGAAAAUCAUCUCAUUUUCUUGAUGUUAUAGAAUUACAAAUUUGAAGGAAAAAAAAAGAAAAAAAAAUAAGGGCUAGCCCACCCCACCCCUCGACCCUUCUAGGGUUGGGUUGGGUUGAGCAUUUUCAGGUCCUACCAAAUGAAGGGUCAGCCCGCCCUAGCCCUUCAAAUUUGUUGGCCUGCGAGGCUUGGAUCGGGUGGGGUUGGGCCGUCCCUUUUUGACAGCUCUACAUGCAUUAUAAUGAGCAAUUACACACAUAUAUCACACCAACAUGAAAUCAUAAUCAUCACCUACCUUGAAUCCCCUAAGGAACUUGAAUCUUCCCUUUCCGGAUUCUUUCCGCUUGUUCGUGGUUUAAAAAUAUACAAUUAACGCAAGGAUCAAUAAACGAGGCCUAAUUACCCAGAUUAUAAUCAACAUUAUCAACCGUAGGUGAAACUGAAACGACUCGGGAAAAAAAUGAUAGGUUAAGCAAGAGCUUAUGACUUUGUGUUGACUUUAUAAUGAGGUUCUAUGAGGGGUUUAUAUGUAAUUUCGUUUUAAUUGUGUAACUCCGACAAUUUAAAAUGAAUAAGAAGAAGCUUGAAAUUGGAAGUAGUCACUUUUGGAAAAAUUCAAAAUCUGGAAAUUUGGUUAAGUGUGGGAAAUCAGUGAGUUUUUGGCCAACUUUGAGCAGUCAUAACUCCUAGAUCAGGAUGAUCCCGGAGUAGUUCUUGGCCAACUUUGAGCAGUCAUAACUCCUAGAUCAGGAUGAUCCAGGAGUAGUUCUAGUUAUGUUUGGAAAGCCCUUGGAACGAUCUUUCCAACGCCACCGAGUUUGCUCGAUUCCGAGUUCGUAUGAGCGAGUUAUGCCCUUUGAAAGUUGGGCAGUUGGCAGGGAGUCCGUCCGGAAAUUUAAGGGCAUUUUGGUCUUUUCACAAAUCUUUUCUUUUGAGGUUAUAUUGUUGUGUUAGGCUGUUUGUGGAUCAUUUUUGUUCCAUUUUAAAAGAGUAAGAGUUAGGGUUCUUGAGUGAAGAAGAGAAAGAAGAGAGGAAGAAGAGGAGUUGGAGCUAGGGUUGAAGAUUUCUUGGUGUUUCUUCUUCAAAUUUCGUGGGGAAUUCAUCUUUAAGGUAUGGGGAUCCUUUAUCCUUGAUCAUUCUUUCUUUCAAGGAGCCCAAUCAAAAGGUUUUCAAGGUCUUUCAAAUACACCAAAAUCCUAUUUCGAAUUCUAAGCACGGGUUCUUGCAUUAAAUGAUUUCCAAUGAUGUUUUAUAUUUUUAUUAAUGAUUAUUGAUGGGUUUAGGAAAGAAAUCUUCAUGAACCCAUGCCUUUACAAAUUCUCUAAAUUUGGCCUAAAGUGGGUGUAUUGAUUUUGUGUAAUUGAUGGACGAUUAUUGUGUAAAUUGUUGUGGGCUGUUCAUGUAUGUAUUUAUCUAUGUUGAAUUGUUAAGAAUUGUUAUUGAAUUGAAGGAUGUGGGACGCUAGCCUUGAAUGGGAAAAAUUGUGAAUUGGUCUUCAUGUUGAUUUUGGGGCUUAUGCUUAGCUUAGUUUGUAUAGUUGAAUGUUGUUAUUAUCAUUGUUAUUGUAUUGUUAAUUGUUGGAAUAUGAGGAUGAUGAAGAUUGCCAUGGAAAGAGGGUAAGUUGAUCAAACUUGAUAAAUAUUGUAUAAUUGGCAUGGAAUUGAGUAUUGUGGCUUAUAGCCUUUGAAAAGGGUGGUAAGAUGGCUUGACCUCUUAGUAUUAAUAUAAUAACAGUAUUAAUAUAAUUGUUAUUGAUUGGUUUGAUCCACCUUUGGUGGAGGUGGUUAUUUGUCGUAUUAUUGUGAAUUGAGGCCAUGAAGGACAUUAUGUGAAUGUUAUUAUAUUGUUGUAUUAUUAUACACAUAUGAGGCUAUAUGUAAAAUCCUAUAUGGAGCUAUAUGUGAAGGUAUGAUAUGAAUGAUUUUAUGUGAUCUUGUGAUGAUCCUAUGUAAAGUGGAUAGCAUUGUGAGUUAAAGUAUGAUUUCUCAUGAUGUAUAUAUGAAAUGAUGUUGGAUUAUGAAGUAUCCUUAAAUGAAAAUGUUGUGACUUGGUUGGUAGACUAAAGUGUCCCUCCUUGUUACUUAAAGUCUUGAAUGCAUGAAUGUGUGAAGUGGGCUAGAACUAAAAAAUGGUGCCCUUUCUAUAAAUGCUAAAAGAGGAAUUCUAGGCCAAGACUUGAAUCGGCAAAACUAAGAAAUGGUGCCCUUUCAUAAGUCUAGCUUUCCUAAGUAAAUGUAAAACCAUGAAAUCGGUAGACCUAAUGGUGGUAGCCCUUCUCAUGUGUGAAAUGAUGAACCUUGGACCGGCAGGCUUAAGGCACCCUUAAUGAAAAAUCGGUAGGCCUAAGGCACCCUUCCAUGGGGAUUUAAUGAGCUAUCCUUAAUGAACCUUGAUCGGUAGAUCCUUGUGGUGCCUUUCUUGGUAGAUGUGCUAUGGGUCGGUAGACCUAAUGAUGGUGCCCUCUCUAGCACAUACAUGUGAAUGAAAUUACUCUAUGGGAACUAAGGCUAAGCACCGAGUGGAUAUGGUUAAGAUGGUAGCUCUCCCGAGUAUGAGGCAAGAGUACAAUGAACAUCUUUGGAUAUCCCCUAAACCAUGUGCCUACAUGGGUUGCUUACUAGUUCUACCUUUGGCAAGAAGAACAACCUCCACGGAGUAGGAUAGACUCCGGAUUCCAUACCUAGCUAGUAUGGUCUAUGUCGGUUAUGCCUAUUCCCAUCAUGUGGGAUGUGCACUCUAGUUAUUGGAUAGGUUCUACAACGUGUAGGUAGUAGUAUGGGAUGCUAUCUACACAUGGCACGAGUAGGCUUUGAAGAUACUAAAGUGAGUUCCCUAAGUCUAACGACUAUUAUGUGAAAGUCCCCUUAUGUGCUUGAAUGUCUCCAAAAUGGUUUCUUAAAGAAUGUUGGUCUAUUGAUGUUAUGUUGUAAAGGAAAUGUCCUUAUCUAAGGUAAUCUUGGGGAACACUUAAGUGUGCUUGAAGAGGUUGUAUGGGCGGUCACUUCUUGUCUCACUCAAGUGUGUCUUAAGGUUAUAUUAGGUAGAGGUCCUAUGGUAAUGAAAUGGCAUGUGUUCCUUUAAAGUUAAGCAUGGGUUGUAUAUGAAUAUAUGUUGAGUAUGUAUACGGUUGGCUAUGGUUUUAUAUGUGAACAUUGACUUAGUAUGUUAUAUUGUAAUGGUAAAUUUCCUUAUCUAUGGUAACCCUUAGGAAUACUUAGGUGUAUAUGAAGAGAUUGUAUGGGCGGUCACUUCAUGUUUCACUUAAGUGUGGCUUUGGGUAACUUGAGAUAGAGGUCAAGAAAUGAUGAAAAGGCUUACUUGUAUUUUCUUUCAUGAAGUUUUACCAAAUGGCAUAAAAGCAUGCUUCUCCAAUGAACGUCCCUUUUAGCAUGUUUUUGCAUGGCUUCCAUACUUAGUACUUAAUUGUGCUAACCCCUUUCUUUCCCUUUUUGGACUAAAGUGUAGGGAUUUGGAGAUGAUGACAUGUCAUGGCUUUGAUAGGUUUCUAAGUGUUGAAGAUGAAGACUUGGUGAGUCCUCAUAGAUUCGAGGACAAUACCCAAUAUGUUCUUUUAUGUCUUUUUAGUAUUGUUUAAGUUGUGUACGGGAUUAGUCCCGAAUUUUGUACUCUAAAGUAUUAGAUGGUUAUGAGACAUCAUGUAUAAAGUCUAGAAAGUCUUCCGCUUGCUAUUUUUUUUAUGCAAUGUUUUCUUGGUAAAGAAAGUUUUAAAUUCAUUAUGUUUUUAGUGUCUAUGCGAUGAAUGAAUGCUAAGAGGCUUGUAUUAAACCUCUUCGUGGUCGAGUACGCCGGUUACGACUAGAGGGUGCUCCCAGGUCGUGACAGAAACGACCCCAAAAAUAUGCUUCGAAAACACCUAUAAUUGUAAUUUCCAUAUAUCUCAAAAUCCGUGCAUGAUUUCAGAAAUUCGACUUCAUAUUCUUAUUCAUGGGGUCAAAUUGAGUGGGCAAUGGGUCUAACCCGAAUUUUAGAGCAACCGUAUCAAAAUUCGAAAAUCGCAAAAAAUGCGAUUUGGAGGGUCAACUUUAAAGGGGCAUAUCUCUUAGCACACAAGGAAAUGGAAGGGCCAGAACCUAUUUAAUUAAAGCUCUUUGAGUUAGCUUUCCAACGCACUUGGUUUCACCUCAUUCCGAGUUAGGAUGAGGGAGUUAUGACCAUUUUCGUAAAACUUGUCUGUGCAGAUUUGCAAUUUCCAGUGAGCUAUUUUUUUGAGGCUGGUUGGGGACGUUUUUUUAUAUAAAAAGGGGAUAUGUCCCAUACUUAGUCUUUUUUUUAAAACUUCAAAAACACUCUCUAAGCCCUCUCCGAAAUUCCACCAAGAUCCUCAACCAAAUUCAAGCAUCUCAAGCUCUAAUUCCGGAUUCAAGACUCAAUCUCAAGCUUCAAUUCUCCAUUCCAAUCUUCAUCAAGGAUUCUCCAAAGUUGAGGUAUGUGGGUUUGAUUGUGGAAACCUUCCUUUCCACAAGUCCAACUAUUUAUCCUCUAUUUCUACUUCAAGUUUAUANNNNNNNNNNNNNNNNNNNNNNNNNNNNNNNNNNNNNNNNNNNNNNNNNNNNNNNNNNNNNNNNNNNNNNNNNNNNNNNNNNNNNNNNNNNNNNNNNNNNNNNNNNNNNNNNNNNNNNNNNNNNNNNNNNNNNNNNNNNNNNNNNNNNNNNNNNNNNNNNNNNNNNNNNNNNNNNNNNNNNNNNNNNNNNNNNNNNNNNNNNNNNNNNNNNNNNNNNNNNNNNNNNNNNNNNNNNNNNNNNNNNNNNNNNNNNNNNNNNNNNNNNNNNNNNNNNNNNNNNNNNNNNNNNNNNNNNNNNNNNNNNNNNNNNNNNNNNNNNNNNNNNNNNNNNNNNNNNNNNNNNNNNNNNNNNNNNNNNNNNNNNNNNNNNNNNNNNNNNNNNNNNNNNNNNNNNNNNNNNNNNNNNNNNNNNNNNNNNNNNNNNNNNNNNNNNNNNNNNNNNNNNNNNNNNNNNNNNNNNNNNNNNNNNNNNNNNNNNNNNNNNNNNNNNNNNNNNNNNNNNNNNNNNNNNNNNNNNNNNNNNNNNNNNNNNNNNNNNNNNNNNNNNNNNNNNNNNNNNNNNNNNNNNNNNNNNNNNNNNNNNNNNNNNNNNNNNNNNNNNNNNNNNNNNNNNNNNNNNNNNNNNNNNNNNNNNNNNNNNNNNNNNNNNNNNNNNNNNNNNNNNNNNNNNNNNNNNNNNNNNNNNNNNNNNNNNNNNNNNNNNNNNNNNNNNNNNNNNNNNNNNNNNNNNNNNNNNNNNNNNNNNNNNNNNNNNNNNNNNNNNNNNNNNNNNNNNNNNNNNNNNNNNNNNNNNNNNNNNNNNNNNNNNNNNNNNNNNNNNNNNNNNNNCUCAUGUUUAGAUGUGGUGUUGGACAAGUUGUGUAUUAUGCUUGAGCUUGACUCAUCUAUGGUAUUUAUGUAUCAUUCCUUCUUUUUUUCUCUUGCUCCCUUAGUCCCGAUUUCCCCCUUGAUUAUGCUUAUCGCUUAUGGUCAUUUAAUUGCUUCCGCGACCAAGGAUGUGUAAUGAUACGCUAUGAGGCUUGUUUGGGGUUCCUUCGGGUUUCCCAUUCGCCGGUCACGUCUAGGCCCUAGGCUUGGGUCGUGACAGUAGGCCAACCCAAGAUCCCAAUACCCAAAUUAGGGCUUUUUCCACCAUUAACUCCAGAUCAAAACCUUUCCCUAAUGAUAAUUACCCAAGAAACUACGUUCUAUGAAUCGAAAUACGGAUUCGGGAGUCUACAAACAAUCAAUAUAAUACGGGAAUCAAUAAACAAUCACUAAUUACCCGGAUCACUAACAAUUCUAACAAACCCUAGAUCAACCCAUGAUUCUAAUUAUCCAAUUUACCCAUUAGAUUACGUUCUACGAAUCGAAAAACAGAUUCAGCGAGUUAAAAUCUUACUUUUAGCCUCAAGAAUGGUGGAAAACUGUAAAGAAUUACCUGGGUUCGUUCCUUAGCUCCAAAAAUAAAAAAGUGCACAAUAAAGACAUUUUGGGGUUUAUUUACGACCUUAAGUCGCGUCUAGCCCGCCACAACGGCCUUCACCCCGCUACAACGUCCCCGCCCUGGCGGUAGAAAUCCCGCCCCAGUGGCUUGCACGGAACCAGUGAGCUAUUUUAAUAAUUCCAUGACCCCCAUUUCACCACACACCUUUAACCAACGACGCUCAGAAAAUACCAUUCACACUAAGAUCGAUUUUGGGAGUUCUACUCACCCGAAUUCAAUUCCGUAAAGUCGUACGGAUUCCUUAACGACUUAUCUAACUACUCAUGUAAUCAAAAUCAUAAAUAAGUCACCUGGUUGUUACCAGAUUUCCCUACACCUUAAUGACUCUGAUUUCGUCCAAAUCUGAAUUAAGUUGAGAAAAUUCAAGUUACUACAAAAAAGUUUUAUGGCCGCAAUUCUUUCUCUAUUGGAUUUUUCCUAACGACAUAAUCAGAUCGUUACAAAAUGUGACUCCACCCGGGCAUUAGAAGAGGAGGCACCGCCUUUAUUUCCUUUCCUUUUGAAGGAAUUUUGAUACAACCUGACAAAAUGCUCAGGUGCCCGACAUUCAUUUUUCCAAUGACCUUUAUGGCCACAACGAUGACAGUGAUCACCCUUGCCUUUUGAAGGAUUAUUUUGAGAACCCAUAGUGUUCUCCCUUUUGUUAUGGCCACCACCUCGACGAUUAUUAUCUCGUCUUUUGCCUUUGCCACGCCCACACACAUUUUCAUGGCCCCGAAUUUUGUCUUAUUUCAGACUGGCCAUAGGCUUCAACCUCAUGUGCUUCUGAUAAUAGAGCACUUCUAGUGGGACGGAAUUCAUGAUUUCUCAUUAAAAGGUCAUUAUGCAGCUCAGCCAUCAGAAGGCAUGAGAUCAAUUCAGAAUAUUUUUGAAAACCCUUUUCAUGGUAUAGCUACUGUAAUAUCAUAUUAGAGGCAUGGAAAGUAGUUAGAGUAUUUUCUAACAUGUCCUAAUCUUUUAUAGUUUGUCCACAUAAUUUCAAUUGAGAAGUGAUUCUAAAUACAACAGAGUUAUACUCAAUUACGGUUUUAUAAUCUUGAAACUGUAAGUGCAUCCACUCAUAACAAGCCCUUGGCAAUACAGUUGCCUUGAGGUGGUCAUACCUCCCUUUCAAACCUAUCCACAAUUCAAGUGGAUCUUUUACCAUCAAGUACUCAACCUUCAGGCUUUCAUCAAGAUGAUGACGAAGGAAAAUCAUAGCCUUCGCUUUAUCCUGACUUGAUGCCUUAUUCCCUUCUAUUAUACUAUCACCAAGACCCUUAGGGGUAAAGUGAAUUUCAACAUCAAGUACCCAUGAAAAAUAGUUCUUUCCAGAAAUAUUGAGUGCCACAAAUUCAAGUUUUGACAAAUUCGACAUGAUGAUAACUAUCACAAAAUAAUUGAGUUAAUAUUAUGAUGUUGGUUUUUUUUAUAUAAUAAAUGUUAAAUUAAUGUUCAAAUAAUAAAGUAUAAUAUGAUUAUAAAAUAUAUUAUAUGUUAUAUGAUGCACAUUGAAUGUCUCAAAAGCAUGUAAACUCAUGAAGUAUUGAAAAAAUAAAUUUAAUAUGUAAUUUUAAUUGUUCUACAAUAUUUAUUAUUAGUCUCAAUAGAUAUUAACGCCAAUUUUUUUGUAAGAUCUUCAAGUCAUAUUUAAUACAAUAAUAUUCUUCUUUAUGACACACCAAUAUACUUAUCAUAAUGUAUGAAAAUACUUACGAGUUAUUUUAACUAGCAUGCUAUCAUAUUACUUAGUAAUUAAUUUAGAGUUAUAAGUUAGUAGCAUAUAAAUAGCAUAAUAAUAUAAACCUGAAACGUAUUGAUUAUUAUGCCUAGUAAAGUACCAUAAUAAUAGCUAAAGUAAGUUAUGUAUGUAGUAAUUAAAUUACAAUUCAAAGACUCAUGUAAGUCCUAUUUGAGAUGUUAUAAACAUAUAAAUGUAUACCUGACUCAGAAAGAAAAUUGAUUAACUUUUAGGAAAAAAAGAUAAUUUCGAAUUAAGUAGGUCUUAAUUGGUUAAAGACUCGUGCUGAUAACGUGUUGUGAAACUUUAGCAAUAUAAAAUAAUAUAAGACAAUAAAUAUAUGAACAAGAUAUAUGGGAGAGAAUGCUUUCUUAUUUCUUUCUUCUGUACUUUUCUAUUGUAAUCUUUUAUAAAAUAAUCAUCGCCUAUUUAUAGUACAAAAAUGUCUCUUCAAAGUUACAUGAAUUAAAUAGUGUUCAUUUAUUUCGUACAUGAACUUCAAAGAGAGUUUCUAAUGACAUCCACAUUAAUGCAUUUAUAACAAAACUUACUAUAUUCAAAUGGCAGAAUGACCUGGGAAACCCUUAUACUUGCCUUGGAUUGUCACCUAGACCCUUCUACUCACGAUUUUGCCAACUGAACACUUAAACUCAAUAAAAUUUGAUAUUUAAUUUUAAACCCUUUUCUAGUUUGAUAAAUGUGCGUGUAAUACAAACAUCUACACAUGAAAUUUCACGUCAUUUUUUAAUGACACACAUCUAUGUACGGAGUUCCACGUCAUUUUUUAAUGACACAUAAGAUAUAAAAUAUUAAAAAAUUAAUUAAAUCAAAUAUCCUUUCUCUCUUCUCUUCUCUUCUUCACACCCCCCAAGGUCCAACUCAUGUUCCUCCCUCUCUUUCUUCUUCAUCAGAUUUCUCCCUAGUCCCUCCCACUCCCUUUUCGCUUCUCCACCCCCUCUUUUCUUCCUUCCUCUUCAGAUUCCCUCUCCCUUCUCAUCUCUUCUUCAGAUCUAUUUCUAUGUUAUUCCUUUUUUUUCUCCACUCAAUUCGUAGAUAUAAGCAAAUUGAUAAAGUUAACAAAGAGAAAAAAAAUAAUUAUAACUAAGAAAAGCAUAAAAACAACUAAAGAUUUCACUGAUUUGAUGAAUUGAGAAGCAUAUAAAAAAGAAUUUUAUGGUGUUCAUAAUAUUCCCAGUAAUAAAGAAAGGGGCGAGAAUUUUUAGUGUUUUUCUAGUUCCUUGACUUUUGGGUUUUUUCAAUUUGAUGCUAAUAAUGUGUCAAAGAAAUUGAUUGUAUUGAAAGUUAGGAUUUUGUAUGAACUGAAUUUUGUGGAGUUAUUGCUUUUUGAAGGUGGUAAAAAUGGCAGAGAAGAAGAAGGGGUGAGUGGGGUUAAGAAAGGAAGGUAGGGGUGGGCAAGAAGAAAGAGGUGUCUAAUGGAGUAUUUUUUUUUUGUUUUCUUAUUUAUUUAUUUAUUUUAAUUAUUUUUAAUAAAAAUUGUAUGUUUACGCACAUUAUAUGCAUGAAAUUAACGCGUUUUUCCAACUCAACCAACAAGUUGCCACAUAAGAGCAGUCAACGGGGUUUAAAAUAGUAUGAGUUAACAAGUACAAGUGCUUGGAUGAAACUUGAUGAAGUACGAGGAUCCAGGUUACAAUUUGAGCCAAGUAUAAGAGUCUCUCAGAUCAUUCCGCCUAUUCAAAUUCAUGUGCCGAUAAGAAGUAACCAAAACAAUAAACAUCAUUUCAAGUAUAGAAAUAAGAUGCAAGACAAUAAUAAUUUUUUUUUGAAUAAGUAUAAAAUAUCCGUAAAAUCAACUACCAUAUAAAAAAGUGAAUUAUUCUCUUUAAGAAUUUUUUUUACCUAAUUACAAAAUAAUAGAGAAAAAGCAAUACCGAAAAGUCUAAUAAUUAUGAAUAAUGAUUCCUUGCAUAAUUCAUACCUUUUACAAUGAAUAAUAUUUCGAACUAUGCUGCAAGAAAAUAUAGCUAUUAGAAACAACUAUAUAAUAUAUUACUUAAGACUUUAAUUAACAAUAUAUCCACAUACUUCUAUUUAGUUACAAACGUAAUUUUGAAAUUACAGAUGUAACAGAAUAAUUAAUUUUCGAAUUUAAGUUAAUUAUUUAUUUUUUAUUUUAUUUUCUCCUACUUUGGGGAUUACAUAUGUGCCUAAUUUUUGGAGAUGAUAAUUAUAAUAUUAAAUUUUGUCAGUUUUUAUCUCUCCCAUUAAUGUUUCUAAUACACGGAUUACUGUGAUUCUCUUCUCUCCUCUUCUGGAUUACUGUGCUUAUCAUAUCAUAUUUUAUUUUUUUCCUUUUUCACGCAAUCCAUGUAAAGUAAAACUUUUUAUGUUUCCAACAAUUUGCUCUUUAGUUAUUCCCUAUGUAGUUUAUAUUUUCUAGAAAUUACACCCUUCUCUUUUCCUUCUGUCCAUCUUCAUUUCUUUCACCAUUAACCCAUCUCUUCACUAUUGUUAAAGUUUCGCUUUAGUUCAUCUUCAAUUUUAUAUUUUCAUAUUUUGAUUUUGAUGGAUAAGAAGCCGCGAAAAAUUUCUAGGCUUUAAGAAAUCAGUUAUAGUUGUUGAUAGUCUACAUAUUAUAUGUUCAAAACAUUCUUUUGAGUUGAAUACGUUCACGCAAUCGCUUGCCAACGAAGGUAUAAGAGAAGAAAACAAAAUCAUCAAAGGAAACAAUGAAUGUAUUGUCCUUAGUUCUUCCUUAACUAACAAGGUUCAGCAAAAAACAGAUCCAAUUAUUAAUCCAAGUAGGAAGGAUAAGGAGAAGGUGAUUGAAUCUUCGGUUUCGAAAAACUAUCCUCAUGAUAGUGAUUUCGAGGAUGAAAUUCUCAUUGCCAAAAGAUUAAGAUUAAAUAUUGAUUCUAAAUCAUCUGGGAAAUUGUGUCAAAAUAUUGUGUUUCAUUUUAUAGUCUUAACUACUUUUUUUUAUUAAUUUUAUUGUGUUAAUUACAUCGUGUGAGGUUGGUAUUUAAUACCAACAUUUCAAUUUUUUGGUUAAUUAGUUCUUUUAAGUUAAGUAGUUGUCUUUAGAUUCAAUGUGUGAGGUUGGUAUGUAAUAGCAACAUUUCAACCACUAUAUACCAUCAUUAUUAUGAAUAUUUUUUAUUAUUACACCACCAUUUUUUUUAUGUGAUUAUUACACCAAUAUUACAUAAUUAUGAUUUUUGUAUUUAAUUAAAUGAAGAGUACAUUGAAUUAUUUUUGUAUAUAUGUAUCAAAAUGUUUUGUUUCAUUGUGGUGUCAAACUACCCUUUUAAUAUAAAUUUGGUGGUUUACAAAUUUAUUGUGAGAGGUUGAUAUAUAAUACCAACAUUCAACCAUAAUAUAUAGCACCAAUUAUUAUGAAUUUUGUAUUACAUUUUCAUCAAGAAAUCAACAAUGUAUUAAUAUUAAAUGCACUCACCAACAUUACAAUGAUAAUUACACCGAUAUUAUGAAUUAGCCAAUCAAUUUGAAUAUUACACCAAUAUUAUAAAAAUCACAAAUUUUACAAUUUUUUCUUAACAAUAUAUAUUAGUCUUUACAGUUUCAUUUACUUAUAUAUAUAAAGGUGAAAAUGCUAAUCAUAUUUGGUAUACAAAAUGGUUAACAACUAAUUUAGUUUUUUAGUAUGAAAUAUACCAACACAAUCUAAUAAGUAAUAUAACCAAUUUGUUUAUUAUUUCUUCUCUAAGCUCAUGGUUCUGAUCACAAUAUGGUGUUUACAAAAGUCAUAUAUGGUGUUUACAAAAGACUAAAAAUCUAAUAAUUACUUCAAUACAUGUGCCAUUAAUACAUCAAUUACACCAACAAAAUAUACCAAAAAAUUAAAGAAUGUUAGUGUUUAUUAAAAACCUAAUACACAAUAUUGAUUACAAUAUAUCAUUCACAUCAAAUACACUAUCAAUUAAACCUAAUCAUUUACCAAAAAACAUUCACGGAAUAUGGCCUUAUUACAUGACUCAAAAUAGACCAUCAAUUUCACCAAAUAAUCUACCAAAAUACAGUCACUACAACAAUAUCAUAAUCAACUUAAAAACCCUCACAAUUACACCAAACAGACACAAAAAAAACAAUCACAAAUUGACAGAUUAAUAAUAAGUUCAUAUACACAAUCAAUUACACCACAUUAUCUACCCUAUUUCAAUUCAGCAAAAAGAUAUUUUUAAACGGCUUAAAUUACACCGUCAUAUACAAUCAUACAAUUAUAAUAUGGUCGGAUUCCGAAUUAAAUUUCAAGAAUUACUGUAACAAAAAAACAUAGACCAACCAAAUCGUUUAUAAGAUAACGAUCUCGUAAAUAAAAACACCAAAUAUGUUACAUACAUUAAUUAAAAAGAAUCACCAUUAUGUUAUAUACAUGACGUGUCCCAUCGUCCGUUGUGUUGAAGUAGAAUUGAAAUACUGUUGAUAUCCAUAAUUGAAUAAUCUUUCAGAAUAUGAAAGUAGAAAGGUUUAUUUCGGUUUUAAAACCUUUUUUUUAUGGGAGAGAACAUAUAAUCAAUUUGAGUAAAUUGUGGAAGGUGGAGAAAAUUAGGGAUUGGGAGAAAAUCAUGGGUCAUUAUUAAUACGCUUCAUUUUUUAUAUUUUUUUAUGAUAAAUUUCUUAUAUUUUAAAAAAACUAUUGUUAUAUAGGUGAAAAAUAAAACUAUUGUUAUAUAGUGGUUAUUAAGACUCUAUAUUUUAUACUUAAGUGUUUUGCCCCUAUAAUAUAUCAUUGAUACAAUAAACAAACAACUAAAAAAUUACUUAGACAUAAGCUUAUAUAAAAUAUGCGUUCAGAGGAAUAUACGAGAAAUGCAUGAAAUAAAGAGGGUCAAAGCAAGGGUACAAAAAUAUUAAUCCUUUAUAGCAGUUUUAAAAAUAAUGGAGAAGAAAAGAGACUUUGAGUACUCUACCAAUCACAUUUUUUUCUUAUUACAUAGAGUUUAGAAUGACUUUCUAUAUAACUUAUCAUCAAUGACAAAAUAAAUAAGGGAUAAGAGUCUGAAAAAUACCCCAAUUUUGGUCGGAUUUGCUGUUGUGAUACUAAACUUUCAUGAGGACUUAUUACCUCCCUAGAUUAUUUAAUACCGUAUUUUAAACAUAUAUAUUUGCCCACGUGGACAUAGAAAAUAAUGCAAAAUUAUAAAUAGUAAUGUGUCCACGUGGGGCACAUAUAUACCUUUAAAAUACACUAUUAAAUAGUUCGAAGGGGUAAAAAAUACGGUAUUAAAUAGUCUAGGGAGGUAAUAGGUCCUUAUGAAAGUUUAGUAUCGCAACAACAAAUCUGACCUAAGUUGGGAUAUUUUUCGGACCCUUAUCCCUACUAUAAGUGGUUACAAAUUCCUCAAUUGCAAGAAUUAAUGUUUGCCCACUUAAUGCAAUAACCAAUAAAUAUUUUUCUUACGUGCAUAUAAUAUAACCAAGAGAAUAUUAAUAAAUAAUAGGUGCAUGAAUUUAUUAAAAUGUAUAUUUAAAUUUUUCACAAAAAUAUUAUUUGAAUAUGGUUUUAUCUAAAGAAUGAAAUGAUCAAUCAUUUCUUGAUAGAUUAUUUCGUAAUUCAAAUUUAAACUGAACAAAAAAA
RNAcentral lists this long non-coding RNA (53947 nucleotides) under Solanum tuberosum (potato). Its description in RNAcentral is "long non-coding RNA (STUB_LNC001950)". The record is from RNAcentral. Lineage: Eukaryota; Viridiplantae; Streptophyta; Magnoliopsida; Solanales; Solanaceae.